ACAUGGAUAUGAUGAAUAGUUGCUCUGCCAAGUACCUAGUUUUCAAAUUUGAGCUCUCUCUCAAGUUUAGGCAUAACUGUUAUAAUUUAAAGCUUGCUCUAAACCUGAAUUUGUGGGAAGAGUACCUGAUCAAAAGUCUAAGUCGUUAACAGAUAUGAUAUGGGAAGGUUGAGCCGCUGUUUAUCUAUUCCUAGAGAUGCUAGAAUUCUGGAGAAUUUUAUCUUUGAAAAUCUUUAAAAUGUUGCAUGAUGAGUUCCUGUAUGAUGAGAGUUUAAAAUCCUACCACAGCCAUAUAUACAAGCUUAUUAGACUAUGAACCAUACAUUUACUUUUUACUGCUUAUGAGCAUUGAUUGUGGUCAAGCUAUGUAGACCCUUAGGAGCUUGUCAUGCGGUUAAAAUCAAGAUUCACUUGCACGUUCACUCAUACAUGCUGCUUCUACUCCAGAAGUACGCAUCUACAUACAUCCACUCAUUUCCAUAUCCAGAUUCACCCAAAAUUAUUCUACUCCUAUCUAAGAGAGAAUAGCCAAAAACAUUAUCAUAUCUCUGUUAUUCCCCGUGAAAUAAAUGCUCGAGAUAUUUUGGUUACUACCACUUGCUACAUUAUUCCAGGAGGGUGAGUGCUCUGAAAAAGUGAAUACGAGGAAAUAAAAAGGGGCAAGUGCCUGAAACCUCGAAAAAAAAGAGAAAAAGUGAGACGAGAGGUAAAAAUGGACAAGUGUCCGACAGUAGAAUUAGGGGUACAAGAUACCCACCUGAGAGAAAAGGAAAAUAAAAUAUAGAGCGUCUCAUUCCCCUCAAAAGCCUCAAGUGCAAGAAAGGUAUGUACCCCCUCAAAAGAGUAAAAGUAGAAUUAGAUUUUCACCAUUAUUUUCACCAUUAUCAUCAUUCAUUCGCCACACAUGCACAUCUUGAUUUGACUUAUUGACUUGUUCUUCUGGAUCCAUGGUUUGACUAUGCAAUAAGUGUCUUGUAAGUAUGUAUUAGCUGUCUCCCACCUAUGAGCUCUAGAUAUCAAAACCUUAUUAGAGUAGGGUGAGAGAAAAGGCAAUACCACUACGCCUCAUACCAAAAAUACCACAUACUUUGAGAGAAGGCAUACACCAUUACUGCCUUGGUAAGGAUCCAGAAAUACCACAAAAGAGAGACUAGAGAGAGUCAUACAAGGAAUCUCUGAGUUUUAUUUGAAAAUCUUCAAAACUCCAGAGCUAUAGUUAAUCGAAGAACAAGAGACAUGGUGCUUGACUGGACCAUUCUAUCUUUUAACUGCUCAAGACAUAAGUGGCGGUUGCAUGCCCCAUGGUAGAAGAUAAAAUGAGUAAGUUUAAAUCUUAACAGUUUACCCUAACCUAGAGAUGAGAUAUUGUUUGAACGCAUGUGUACCUUCAAGGCAUGAAACCACUGCAGAAACUCUUAAGUCCAUCUUUGCUCAGGGACGAGCAAAGGUUAAGCUUUGGGGAGCUUGUUGACGGUCCUUCAUGUUCACAUUUAACCGUCAACUAAUUAUGAAAAAGGAUCCAAAUACAACCGACACCUAGACUUAGGGUUUCAUCUGACAGAUUUCCAAUGAGUUUUGGUGUUUGUCUAUUUCUGCAGGGGGUUAUCUGGAAAUACAAAGGAAAGGCCCACAUGUUGGGUUUACAUAGAGAAUUAAUGUGUGCGGUAACUUUCCAUAAUCAGGAGGACUCUAGAAGCAACUCGACCGAAGCGGAGCCGAGACGGGUCUAGGACCAGGGCGCCCACCAUUGAUCCUAGGGCGCCCGCCCUGGUACAAGCACCAUUACAAAGAUCUCAUUGAGCUGAUCGAAAUGCAUAUAUUAUUUGCUAUAUUUGGAGUUUGGAAUCAAGAGAUAUUAAUAAAAAAAGGACUCCACAUAAAAGUGUUGCGGGAUUAAUUGGGCCCAAAUCAGAUUUUGGUCCUUUAAGGUCUAUGUGCAUUUUAAUGAGAUAUGGUGGAAAGUUUAGUACCACAUCGCCUGCUGAACCAAAAACGCACAAAAGAGGAGGACUAUAUAAGAAAUGCCCCUGGCCCCUGGAGGAGAACACAUCAUUAUAGAGUUGAGAGGUGGCCUCGAAGGAUAACCUUUCCUCUAUAGAGAAUUAGGGCUAGACAUUCCAAUGUAGUAGAUUAGUUCUAGUAGGGAGUUAGGGAGAGCGGAGCUGCGCUCCGGUUCUAGAGAAGUCUUCAGAGUUUUGGUAUGUCUUUAUUGUAAGACUUAUGCUUUAAUACUCCCUCCAUACCCAGAUUAAUAGUCAUUUUAGACCCUAGAGCCCUUUUCAAAAAGUAGACGUUCUGCGCGCGCGGUGGAAAAUGUGGACGCGAUUGCCCCUCUGCAUGGCUGCAUGCAAGCACCGCCGGCCAAAACGCACGCGCAGCCGCCCACAGGCAGCCCGCAGUUAACGCACCUGCAUGCGUCUCCUCGAUUCACAUCUCCUCGAUUCAUGGAGGGAGUAUAUUUAUCUUCUCUAUUUACUUCUAUGCCUUCAUUAUUAUCGAGUAGUGUAGUCGUUAUAUUUUGGCAUAGGAUCUCCGUUCGCAUCGAGUGCUCUAGUUAUUCAUGGUAAUUAGAGUAGUAAUCGUUAGUGUAGACGUGGUGUCUAUACUAGAGGUUACCUGAGGUUGCACCCAGUCUUGCGGAUUGUUGUGGUAGCCCUAGGGUAGUGACAGCCCUAAAGGUCGAUGUAUUCCACCUCGUUGGAUCAGUGUUUGUAGGACCGUAGUUAGAGCUUCCCAGCCCCCUUCUCAUCUCUUUCUGUGGUUGGUGUUCUGAUGUCCCAAAGUGCUAAUAUGUGAUUGCUAUAUCUAUUCAUUCUUUGUUAUCAUAGAACUAAAGUAAUAGAGAAGUAUACAGGAACCUAGGUCUCUCCCGUUGUCCUCCCGCUAUGGCUAUCUACGCAUUUAUCAUAGAAUUCUCACCUUUAUAUUAUUACCUAUCAUAUAUCAUUUACCCCUACUUUAGUCUAGUUGGUUUGUUAAAUUAGUAGAUGCAUGAUAGUAAGUUAUCAGAUUCUUUGACCUUCGCUUCCCAGUGGUGAAAUAUAAAUAACGAUACCUGGAAUACUCCCGGUAAAAUGCUACGAUGAUGUUCUGUGCGCUUGCGGAAUUUUUCUUAUUCUUAUUGCACUUAACGAAUGUCAACACUACCUGUCAGCGCCCUUUUAUCACAUUCCUCCACCGACUUAGAGUUUUAAACUCCACCGUUCUUUGAAGUCGAUUUGAUCCAAGGAUCACGGUUUAUCCCAUAGGGCUAUAAACACAAAGCCCCCUCAGAUUAAAGCAUUCUCCUCUGUGUUGGAACCCUAAUUCCACUUCUGUAUGAAGAGUUUCUAGAGAGAAUCAAGAGAAGCAUUGAGAGAAUAUUAGUCUUAUAGUCUACAAGAGAUUAGGAGUAGUCUUAUUUAGAAAUAGAGAGGUAGAGUGUUGGGGAAGAGUUGGGGGAAGCUUCGGCCUGUCGGUGGCUCCUCUUCAGCUUGUAAUUGCGGGAUCAAGUUCCACUAUAUCUAGAGCUUGCUUCUAAGAGUGUUUUGGUGUUCAACUUCUAAUUCAAGUAAGUUCAUUAUUAAUGUUCUUCGGGUUCACAAUUCUUUUGAGUGCUUUAAUCUAUAAGGCACUGGAGAUUAAGGUAGUAAUUCUAGGUGUAGGCGAGGAUCUUGUUGCAUGUGGAUGCACCUACGGAUCGGUGGUAGAUCACAGGUGUCACAAUAUCCUGUUGAGUCUUAUAUAGUGCAUAUGCCAUUUGUAGUGGCAUAUAGGACACGGUUGCAAAGUUAAUCUUAUCUUAUGUAGUGCUUUCUCUUGAGUAAUGUCCCCAACCUGAGGAGUAAUAUAAAUAAGUUAUAAGGUUAGAACUAGAUGACCUUACUAACCUCCUUUAUUAUCCCUAUCGUCUCUGUCCUCUUUGCUAUCUCAGGGGUUAAGUUUAGACUUAGUUACUAUCACACAUCUUCCCUGUGGUAAAAUAUAAAUAACAAUACUCUAGAAUACUCUUGGGUAAAGCGCUACAUUGGGUAAAGCGCUACAUAAUUAUUAUCUGUGCACUUUGCAUACUUAUGUUUCUUGUGUGCAUUUAAUUUAUACCAACAGGUAACAUAUGAAUAUUUAUUUCGUAAUGAACCUUUGUACCUGACAUAUAUAUGCAGCUACAGAUGGCGGACCAAUUAGUUUGAAUUUCGGAGGGAAUAGCUAAGGACAUCAUGGUAGAGAUUCAAGAUCACUAUGUCCUGCCGAUUUCAUGGUCCUCGAGAUAGGAGAUGAAGAAGAUGAGACCCCAUCAUUUUACGACGACCAUUCCUUAGUACAAUCAACGCCAUCAUCUACAUUUGAUCUAGAUGAGUCCACAUUCGGUUUCUAUAGAGAAAGGUAUAUUGUUACUUUAAUAGUCUUACUACUUAUGAGCAGCCUAAGUAGCACCGCUAUAGGAGGAGAUGCCAGUCAUUCCAUCAUCAAGAGAGUCUACCUCUCAAGGAUGGAUGAGUAGACUACCUCGAGAAAGUAAGCGAACCUUGCUCGAAUGAGUGGGAACAAGAAGAUGAGAAGAUUGAAGAACCUACAAAGAAAAAAAGGCACUCCCCUACUUCAAAUGCACGAGUCACCAAGAUAUGAAAGAGAAGAAGGUAGUUUCAAAUAAAGAGAAUAUGGUAACAUUAACAUAACUAGAAUAGACAUUGGAACCUCAGUUCGGAUGAGAUGAUACAUCUGGAGAGUAAAUACUCUCUCUCCCUCUCUCUUGCCUAGUCUUGUUUGGAUUACUUUAAAUUUCACACCUUUGUCAUGAGUUAAUGGUAGUUAGCUAUAUUUGUUAGCAUAUUUAUUUAUCUACAUUAAAUAUUAUUUAUCUCUAUAUUUGUCUUGCAUUAUUAAAAUUAGAAGUUACUUUGUUAUGUUUAGUCAUCAUUGCAUCACAAGAGUUUAAGCCGCAUGUGAGUACUCUUAUGGUGUGUUACAACCCAAAGGAAUAUUCAUCAUGGUGGCAUAAAAAUAAAAAUACCAUGCAUAUUUCCUUUUCCUGCAUUAUAAAUAGAAAAUACCCCAAAAAAGAAGAGAUGAAAGAGAUAUCCUGCUACAAAUUGUCAAUCUGUCUUAACCCAUAAAGAACAACUAAUCAUUUAUUGGCUGACCGCUAAACCCGUGUUAUAAUUUAAGCCUCGAGAUUUUGGUGUUCUUGUUGGAGUAAUUUUUGUAGGAUGAUACUUUGACCAAGAGUAAGUUCACUUGGUGGCGUACGACUCAUUUCACUGAGAUGAGAAGGACUGCUGCUGACAAGCUCACUCUAGAGAUCACUCAAUAAAUGAGCAUAGCAAUAUCUAGCUUGGGGGAGAAGCAUCCCCUUUGUAUCUAGCUAAGUAUUUCUUUACCUUUUUAGCUCAACUAUUUUGAUUUUUUCUAUAAGUAAAAAGAAAUAAAAAGAAGAAUAACAUAUUAAACCAAAUAAAAUUGUCCUAGUUAUUUAUAUAUAUAAUUUAUGGUGCGAUCUUAAUUCUGAAAGUCAAAUAAAGAGUAUGUUUACAUUUCUAUUUAGUUGUUAAUAGUCAAAUAAAAGUAAUAGAGAGUACAAUUUUGUUUUGGAGAUGGUGAAUAGUUGCUCUAUCGUAAUUUCUUUCAAAUAUCUAGUUUUUAGCCUUGAAUUCUCCCAAGAUUUGUAUAUAAUUGUAUUGAUAAAGAAUUUUCUCGGACCAUGAAACUUGUGAGUAGCAUAUGCUUGAUCUAAGUCUACGUGAUUGAUAAAUAUGACAUGAGAAAGUUUGAGUUGCUAUUAAUCUUGUUCCUAGCAAUACUAUAAUUCUAGAGAUUAAUCUUUUGAAAAUUUAAAAUCUUAUAUGAUGAGCUCUUGUAUGACAACGCUUAAAUUUCUACCAAAGCCAUAUAUGGUAUUUAUAAUUAGGAAAAUUUAAACUUAUAUAUACUACUUGGUUUUUAUUGAGUUUAGUCAAGUUUUGUUGUGUGCCUUAUGAGAGGUUUGUCACAUUCUUAAAAUCAAAAUCACAUACACACCACACAUAUAUACGCACUAUUUCUAUGUUGGGAGUAGGCACAACGCUACAUUCCAUUUCAUUUAGAUCAACCUUAAAAAUGUUUUGCACCUACCUUUCAGAGUGAACACCCAAAAAUAUUCCCUAUAUAACAGCCCCUAAUAAUGGUCCAAGUUAUUGUUUCUAUCUCUUAAAUAUUUUGUUGCAAAAAAGAGUCAUGAGGCUAUGCAAAAGUUGUUCAAAAAAAGAAGAGUUUAAAAAAAUGGAAAAGUGUCUGAGAUAUUAAAACAAUGGGUACUUGUCGAUGGAAAAUGGUCGGCAAUCUAACUAGGGGUAUGCCCAAGGUAGUAGAUUGCCAGUAGACAUGUGCGCAAGCUACGAACUAGAUAGUGACGCAAAACACAGACAAUGAUUUUAUCUGGGUUCGGUCGCCGUGAGGGCGUAAUACAUACGUCAUACAUCUGAUUGUAUUGAUUAUGAGUUGUUGUUGGUAUAAAAUAACUACACCCUAAUAAUGGUUAUAAUUAGAUUAUCCGCAAGCGCACAGAUAUAUACUAAUAAGCAUUUCACCAAGAUCAACCCAGUUUUAAUAUCGAACCCAAACGAAUAGUUGGUGAUUUAUGACUUCGCCUAUAAUUCUUAAUCUAAGGGGGCACAAACAAUCUAGAAACUAUAGACGAUAAGGAAAUACUAAUAUACUCUGGUUCCAAUAACCGGUAAACUUUAUAUAGUAUCUUCUUAUUAGGUAAGUAACCCGAAUAGGGAAAGAAUCAGAGUAAUCCCCUAUCAGGCACCUAUAAGCCUAUCAAUCCUAUCAACGGGAAGUGGACUACAGAGGAAUUAAUGUAGCUAUAAAGUCACCUACUGAACUACCAUUGUCUGGCUGAUCAGGAGACAUUCACAAGCAACCAUAGCCCAGACACCACGUCUACGCUACGAAUCACUACUCCGACCUAGGAGCUACCCAAAUCGGAGUACUCAAUGUAAUAUGAGUUGCAAACCAAAGAACGAACACAAACAACUUGCUUACUUGAUUCAGAAGGGUAAAUACAAAAGUACCUCACAACACGGUUCCGGGCGAGGGAGCCGAAUCCCAAAGAAUAGUGCUCCUGAGCAAGCUCCGAUAGGCCGGGACUCCUUGUUGACGGUCCUUAAUGCUCACAUUUAACCAUCAACUAAUCAUAGAAAAGGAUCCAAGUGCAACCAACACCUAGACUUAGGUUUUUAUCUGAUAGAAUUCCACGAGUUUUGGUGUUUGUCUAUUUCUGCAGGGGGUUAUCAGGAAAUAUGAAAGAAAGGCCCACACGUCGGGUUUACAUAGAGAUAUCAACGUGCCACGCAAUUUUCUACCAUCUAGAAGACUCCAGAAGCAACGGGAACGAACGGGAGGCCGAUCGGGCCCGGGGGCAGGGCGCCCGCCCUCCCCCCUUGGGUGCCCGCCCAGCUACAGUAACCAAUCAGCUUCAACUUCGCGGAUCGUGCUCCACCGACCUAAGGGACCAAGGAAAACCAUGCGAUUAAUAUCGGUUUGAUCCAACGGCCCAGAUUCAUCUGAAAAGACUAUAUAAGCAAGGCCCCCUGGCCCCUGGAGAUCAUACCUCUUCUACAGAAUCAAAGUUAGGGUUUCAAUUCUUCAUCCAAGUAGAGAGGAUCCCUCUAGUUCUUCUAGUUCUACCUCUAGUUCAUCUAGUUCUAGUUCUAGUUCAUCUAGAUCUAGUUCUAGUUCCUCUAGUUCUAGUUCUAGUUAGUUCUAGUUGUAAUCUAGAAAAUAGGGAGAGAGAAGAGGAGAGCGGAGGAGGAGCCGGAUCUGUCGGAUCUUCCUCAACAUUGUACUUUUGCAGCAACUGGUUCGUUCUUCAUCGUUCUCCAGGUUCUUCAAUUCAUAAUUCCUGAGUUCUCUAAUUACUUUUAUUUACAUUCAAGUUAUUUAUUGGAUUCCCGCUUGCAUCAAGUGCUCUAGUCUUUAUAACGCUAGAGUAGUAAUUAAUAGAUUAGACGUGGUGUUUAGUCUUGCAAUUACCUGGAAUUGCACCCAAUCCUGCGGAUUGUUGUGGUAGCCUUAGGGUAGUGAUAGCCCUAACGGUCGACGUAUUCCACCUCGUUCGGAUUGGUGUUUGUAGGACCGUAGUCAGACCUUCCCAGCCCCCUUCUCAUCUCUUUCUGUGGUUAGUGCUCUGAUGUCCCGAUAUAGAUAAUUUUGAUGUAAUCCUUGAUUCUUAGAUCAACUAGAGAACUCUUAGGAAACUUCCUCUCUUCACACCAAAAAUAAUUAUAUAGUUAUCCUUGGACGAUCUUGGAUCUUAAUUAGUACACUCACGUUCUCUAUGGAAAAUCGAUACUCUGAAAUACUCCCGGGUGAAGGCUACAUCGGUAUCCGUGCGCUUGCGGAUUUUUCUGUUUGCGUUUAAAAUACCCAACAAGCUUUCUGGCGCCGUUGCCGGGGAACGGUAGCUGUGCUAGUUUCGAACCAAGUCAUCCGUGUAUCCUUUUUGUUUUCGUUUUUUUACCACACUCACCUUAUCAUUUUCACCAUACCACAUGGAUUUCACUCUAAGCAUUAAUGAGCAUGGAGUUUAUUUCAUAGCCACUUCAUUUACUCCAUGCUCAUAUGCAACAUCUUCCCAAUCCAUUGGUUUUUCAAACAUCACCACAUUCGAGAUCUCCAACCCCCUCAUCCUUUCUAUUUAUAAAAACUUUAAAAGGGCGGUUGUCGAUGCAUAUGUCUAUAAUAAAUAUUGCAGAUCCCGUUGAGUUGAUCGUGAUAUAGGUCAGCGUUGGAGUGGAAACCACUUCGCUGACAUAAAUUAAUGGUUUCCCAAGGACAAGCUUAGUGUCCUAAAACAAGCACCGAUCAGAUUGUAACAUGAGCUUUUAAUUAUUUGCAACAUUACCUUGUGUGUUGAGCAUAUAAGGAUAAUUGUAAAAAAAAUCCUUCGGAUAUUCUUGUCACUAACCUUUUCAGGAUUGGAGCAAGAAGAUCGGAUGAAUGACAACCACAAGGUAUGUCCAACCAAUCAUCAUACAACAUUGAAUUAAAUUCAUCCAAACUUGAAUUUUGCAAAAUUCAAGCUUGGGGGAGUACUUUACAUAAAAACAUCCUUUGCCAUGUUGCUAUGUUGGUUGUCCCUACCUUUGAGACAUGCUCAAUUUGUUAAAUACUAAUCACACUACUUCAUCUCCACUUGAGUAGAUCUCUAUAAACGCUCUCAUGCUACCUUUAUUUGCUUUAGUAUAUGUCUAGGUUUGGAGUAGUUUCAUUUAUCUCUUAGUUAAGCAUGGUGCUUAGUUUGGAAUGUUGAUCUUACUUCCAAGGGAGUUUAAAUUAAGCAUGCUGCUUAGGUUAAAAUGCCCUCCUAAAUCAAAUUAGACAUGGUGUCUAGGUUGAUUUUUGAGCCGAUAGUAUGCUAUAGUAGAUAUUGGAUAUUUUGUUGAACGAACCCCUGCAGGAAAACUUUCAAUAUUGACAUGGGAAGUCCUGAGAUAAACUCACAUUGGAGACAAAGAGAGAGGCACAAGAAGUUUAACAAUUUACACAAGGAAGGCAUAGCUCACAAGAGAUGAUCCAUAGAGGGUGCUACAAACACGAUCCACAACCACUAAGAAAGGAAAGCUUCCACAAGGUGAUACGGUACCAUCACUCUUCAAGUAAGGUAACAUCUUAAGGAACUUGACUAUCACUUUUAUAAGUUUCUCCUUGGUUCUAGCGUUCACAUGAAUAAAGAGACAAACAUGUUUGAUUUACAACUCUAGAUUAACCAACCUAGUCAAUUCAAUAUGUUUAGUCCUUCAACCUUUGUGAUCCCACACUCCUAAUCAUAUGAACUAAAAUGUUGCACACUCAAUCUUUGGAAGAUAUAUAAAAAACAACAUAAAUAUAGAUAGAUUAUCUUUCCAUUAGGUUGAGUGAUCUGAUCUAACAAAUGUUUUAAAUGCUACACUCAUGAUCUUAUUAUCCAUCAACUUUGUCUUGCUCACUAUGCUUAAGGUUAGAGCAGAAAAAAUACACUUUUGGUUCUGUUGGUGUUUUCCACCAACAGGGCCCAUGGACUUGAUCUCUGCCUUGUCUCCAUGGGAAGGUACACUUUGAGCAAAAUAUGAAGGAGUUUUACAACUCCCAGACUCCACCAAGUGAAGAACCUAGAUCUACGAGCACAAACACACUGGAGAUACUGGACACUCAGGCAAUCACUGCCUUGAGAUGCUUGAGGACAUAAACUACAUCAAUAACAACUACUACUACAACCGUCCUCAACAAAAUCAAGGUUGGAAUCAACAGAGGCCUAACUACUCAGAGGCGACCCAGGACGCCCUGUCAUCCCGAUCUCCAUCGGCAUGGUGGACUUUUCAGAAGACACUCUACGACACCGGAUCUGAUGUCAACAUAAUGGCCGCAGUCACUUAUCAGCUCCUGCAUGGAACCAUGCCCCUACAACCAACAUACAUUUAGCUCCAGAUGAUUUUAAGGUUAUUGACAUGGGAGAAGACGAAUUCGAUCCACCCGUCAUCCUUGGAAGACCGUUCCUCAACACCAUUAAAGCAAUCAUCUACAUUGGAACCAGAGAAGCCCACAUGCACUUCCCCUCUGAGAAGGUACGCCAAUAUUUUAAUGACCCUAACUAUAUAAUUGAAGACUCUAAGCAGGUCAGGACGAGAAGAAGACGACGCAACCGCAACCAGAGGAGGAAAAUCAUCAAGGACGGAUGAGCAGACUACGAAGGAGAAGUGGUAAGGUCUGAAGACAUACAACUUGAACAGAACUGUCCUGAGGAGACCAUAGCACCAAGUCGGGUGCGAAGAGAGAAGAUAACUAUACACGAAGAGGAGGCGUUGCCGGAACCACCGACUACGCCAUCCAGCGAAUCCCAGGACGACUGAGAAAACAGAGAGUCCCGUUCGGAGGACUUAAAAACACCGAACGCCUUGCCAAGAGCUAAACUGGGUAGUUAUCUUUUUCCUUUCAAUUAUUUAAAAUAGUUUGCUUAGUUAAUCAUAUUCAAAUCAUCUUGAAAAGAAAAUAAAAAUGUUUAAAAUAGUAAGCCCCAUGUGAGUAUGCUCAUGGCAUAAAACCCAUAAGUACAUUCACUGUGGUGGCAUAAAAAAUGAAAUAAAUAUAUUCCUAUCCUAUAAAAAUAAAAUUAUAAAAAUAAAUUUAUGAUCCUACUAAAGAGAGUAACAUUUAUUGAGGAGGCUCAACAUGAUAAAGGCUAGAUACUUAUGCUAAGACUUAACCAGUUCCACAAAGCUUUGUUGUCUAUUUGAGCUCCACAGAAUUCAAGGAUCAAAGAAGACUAGCAGACAGAGGACAUCCUAAUCACUGUCAGAGUGAUUCCGACAUUCAAAUACACCUCCAUCACCUGCUAGCUACAUCAAAAGAAAUUACGUCAAAAUCCAGCUUGGGGAGAGCACCCCCAUUUAUCCAGCUAAGUGUUCUACUCAUGUUUAUAUUUUACUUAAAUAAUAAAAAGAUGCAUAAUCAUAAAAACCCAAAUAAAGAUUUUGUGCUUAUAUAUAUAUCUUUGCUUAGUUUGCUUAAUAAAUAAAUAAAUAAAGUUUGCUAUGAACCCUCAUGAUAAGCUCUCACAUGGAAAUGAUGAAUAGUUGCUCUGCUAUGAUUAGUUCUAAAAAUUGAAAUCUCUCUUAAGUUUAGGUAUGACUGUUAUUAAUUAAGAUUUGCUCUAAAUCUGAACUUGUGGGGAGAGUACUUGAUCUAAAGUCUAAGUCGUUAACGGAUACGAUAUGGGAAGGUUGAGUUGCUGUUUAUCUGUUCCUAGAGAUGCUAGAAUUCUGGAGAAUUUUAUCUUUGAAAAUCUUUAAAAUAUCACAUGAUAAGUUCCUGUUAGAUGAGAGUUUAAAUUCCUACCACAGCCAUAUAUACAUGCUUGCUAGACUAUGAACCACACAUUUACUCUACUACUUAUGAGCAUUGAGUGUGGUCAAGCUGUGUAGAUCCUUAGGAGCUUGUCAUGUGGUUAAAUCAAGAUUCACUUGCACGUUCACUCACACAUGCUGCUUCUACUCUGGAAGUACGCAUCCACAUAUAUCCACUCAUUUCCAUCUCUAGAACCACCCAAAAAUAUUCUACUCCUAAUCCGGAAGAGAAUAGCCAAAAACAUUCUCCUAUUCCUGUUUUUCCCUUGUGAAAUAAAUGCUCAAGUUAUCUUGUUACUACCACUUGCUAUAUUAUCUCAUGAGAUGAGUGCUCUAAAAAAGAAAAAAAAAGAAAAAAAGAAAAAAAAAGAAGUAUACGAGGAAAUAAAAAGGGGCAAGUGCCCGGAACCUCGAAAGAAAAGAAAAAGUGAGACGAGAGGUAAAAAUGGACAAGUGUCCGACAGUAGAAUUAGGGGUACAAGAUACCCUCCUGAGAGAAAAGAAAAAGAAAAUAUAGAGCAUCUCAUUCUCCUCAAAAGGUUUCAAAAGAGCAAGAAAGGUAUGUAUCCCCUCAAAAGAGCAUAAGUAGAAUUAGACUUUCACCAUUGUUAUCACCAUCAUUACCAUGCAUCAUUCAUUCGCCACACAUGCACAUCUUGAUUUGACUUAUUGACUUGUUUCUUUGGAUCCAUGGUUUGACUAUGCAAUAAAUGUCUUGUAAGUAUGUAUUAGCUGUCUCCCACCUAUGAGCUCCAGAUAUCAAAACCUUAUUAGAGUAGGGUGAGAGAGAAGGCAAUGCCACUAUGCCUCAUACCAAAAAUACUACAUACUUUGAGAGAAGGCAUAUACUAUUACUGCCUUGGUAAGGAUCCAGAAAUACCACAAAAGAGAGACUAGAGAGAGUCAUACAAGGAAUCUCUGAGUUUUAUUUGAAAAUCUGCAAAAACUUCAGAGCUAUAGUUAAUCGAAGAACAAGAGACAUGGUGCUUGACUUGACCGUUCUAUAUUUUAACUGCUCAAGACACAAGUGACGGUUGCAAGCCCCAUGGUGGAAGGUAAUAUGAGUAAGUUUAAAUCUUAACAGUUUACCGUAACCCAGAGAUGAGAUAUUGUUUGAAUGCAUGUGUAUCUUUAAGGCAUGAAACCACUGCAGAAACUCUUGAGUCCAUCUUUGCUCAGGGACGAGCAAAGGUUAAGCUUGGGGGAGCUUGUUGACGGUCCUUAAUGCUCACAUUUAACCAUCAACUACUCAUGGAAAAGGAUCCAAAUGCAACCAACACCUAGACUUAGGUUUUUAUCUGAUAGAAUUCCACGAGUUUUGGUGUUUGUCUAUUUCUGCAGGGGGUUAUCAGGAAAUAUGAGAGAAAGGCCCACACGUCGGGUUUACAUAGAGAUAUUAGCGUGCCAUGCAAUUUUCUACCAUCUAGAAAACUCUAGAAGCCACGGGAACGAACGGGAGGCCGAUCGGGCCCGGGGGCAGGGCGCCCGCCCUCCCCCCUUGGGUGCCCGCCCAGCUACAGUAACCAAUCAGCUUCAACUUCGCGGAUCGUGCUCCACCGACCUAAGGGACCAAUUUAAACCGUGCGAUUAAUGUCGGUUUGAUCCAAUGGCCCAGAUUCAUCUGAAAAGACUAUAUAAGCAAGGCCCCCUGGCCCCUAGAGAUCAUACCUCUUCUACAGAAUCAAAGUUAGGGUUUCAAUUCUUCAUCCAAGUAGAGAGGAUCCCUCUAGUUCUACCUCUAGUUCAUCUAGUUCUAGUUCUAGUUCAUCUAGAUCUAGUUCUAGUUCCUCUAGUUCUAGUUCUAGUUAGUUCUAGUUGUAAUCUAGAAAAUAGGGAGAGAGAAGAGGAGAGCGGAGGAGGAGCCGGAUCUGACGGAUCUUCCUCAACAUUGUACUUUUGCAGCAACUGGUUCGUUCUUCAUCGUUCUCCAGGUUCUUCAAUUCAUAAUUCCUGAGUUCUCUAAUUACUUUUAUUUACAUUCAAGUUAUUUAUUGGAUUCCCGCUUGCAUCAAGUGCUCUAGUCUUUAUAACGCUAGAGUAGUAAUUAAUAGAUUAGACGUGGUGUUUAGUGUUGCAAUUACCUGGAAUUGCACCCAAUCCUGCGGAUUGUUGUGGUAGCCUUAGGGUAGUGAUAGCCCUAAUGGUCGACGUAUUCCACCUCGUUCGGAUUGGUGUUUGUAGGACCGUAGUCAGACCUUCCUAGCCCCCUUCUCAUCUCUUUCUGUGGUUAGUGCUCUGAUGUCCCGAUAUAGAUAAUUUUGAAGUAAUCCUUGAUUCUUAGAUCAACUAGAGAACUCUUACGAAACUUCCUCUCUUCCCACCAAAAAUCAUUAUAUAGUUAUCCUUGGGCGAUCUUGGAUCUUAAUUAGUACACUCACGUUCUCUAUGGAAAAUCGAUACUCUGGAAUACUCCCGGGUGAAGGCUACAUCGGUAUCCAUGCGCUUGCGGAUUUUUCUGUAUGCGUUUAAAAUACCCAACACUCCUCCAAAUCUCUACUCCUCUACUCUAUCUCUGUCUAAUCUCUAUCUUGAUUGCUAGCCUAGAUCUAGUGGAUCUCUAUCUAAUGCUCUGGCUCUUCAUCUCUUGACCUAGCCUCCUCUAGGGCGGUCUUGCCUUCUAUUUAUAGGCUGGUGGGGUGAACGCGCGCCGUUGGAUCAAACCGACUUAACAAGCGGUCGAGAUGGCUCCUCAGAGGCGGUGGAGGAAGCUUCUAGAAGGGGGGGAGCAAACCCUAAACCUAGGGGGCCGGCCGGUGCUAGGGUGGAGCCGGUCAGCCCCACUUGGUGGCGGCUGGCUCCCCCCUCGCGUUAGGUGUCUUCUAGAGUGUUCGUGAAUCCUCUGGUGUCAUCCUUUCGUCGCGGCUAAGUUUCGUGACCGAUGAUUAGCACUUAAGUCCUUCUUUUCAGCACUUUCUAGAAUAAUCCUCGAAAAACACAGAAUAUACAAAACUCAUGGAAAUUAUCAGUGAUAACCCUAUUCUAAUGGAUAUUCAUUUCUGGUAGAGAAAUAAAUGCUAAUAAAUUCAUAAGUUAACAAGUGUCAACAAUUACCCCCACACUUAUUCUUUUACUCGUCCUGAGAAAAAGGUUGAUUUUAUCAUAAUAAGUAAAUAUUUAAUGCAUAACUUGGAAAUUAAAUUAUAUAAAACUGAUCCAGUCAUCAUCUACUGUAGAAAUUUAAAGUGCUUAUCAUGAAUUCUAUAGCUAUUCCAGAGUAGGACAGCUUAAAGUAGAUUACUCUUUUCCUUAAAUUUUGUCUGCUGGAGAGUAAGUAGAGUUUGCAAAUAAAACAUAGCUUCAACCUUCUCUUAAUUGUAGUGGCAUCAAUGAUUAUGAUAUUAAUUUGAUGUUAUGACCAGGGAGGGAAAUAUCAUAUUCCUGGAUCGGACAAAUUAUUCACUUCCUUACCCUAUUAUGUAGGAGGGACCAUAAGCUCUAUUUCUUUUCUUCUCUCUCUUUUUCAGAUCGAGGUUCUAGACACUUGUCCCUUUUUAUUUCCUCGUGAUCUAUCUUUUUGAGGUUUUGGACACUUGUCCCUUUUUAUUUCCUCAGAUUUUCUUUAUGAAGACCCCAUGCCUCCUUCAUAAUAGUGCUUAAGAGAGUGCAUUAUGUUUUUAUUUUAUGAUACUAGGAAUAUCAUCUAUCUCUCUAUUAGAGUCAUAAUGAUGAUAUUAUUAUUAUUUAAUUCCAAUACAAAGAGAGGUGAAGCUAAUUGUUUUUACCUUUUUUUAAAGAAAAUCCCCAAAGACAAAUUUUUAGGAAUUGAAUAAACAUUAUUUUGCUAUCUCUCUUCCCUCAAUAACUUAAGUAAACAUGAAGUACUAUAAAUUUUGCAGCCAUGAUUCUAGAAAAGGGUUAUACACUUUAUUUUUCAAGUCAUAGUUUAAAUGGUGUUUAUUCUUUCUUAAAAAUAUGUAAUAUCAAGAUUUUUGAUUCGGAUGACAAUUCGCAGAUAUAAUAUAUGCAAUUAUAAUUUAAAUAACCAAACCUGACCAUGUUCGAAGCGGAAGCAAAAAGGAGUGAAAAGGGAGCCGGCUGGCCCCACCUCUGGGCAGUGUGGGCCCCCCUUUGUUGUGCGCAAUCUUGGUUCGAUUGUGUUCUAAAUUAUGCUACUUUUCCGACUGAAUUUCCGUUUCAUUAUUGCGAUGUGCCUCCCCCACACUUAUUUUCGUGUAUACUUUUCUGCGCAAUAUGGGGAGAUAAACACAUACAAAAAUAGAGAAAAUAGUAGAUAAAAGAUAAGACACUUUAUUUAUUCAUGAUGGUGAUAAUUGAACAAACGUUUUAAUGAUUGAGCUAACGACUACCCUAGCUCGAUGGGCUUUGACCUAAGAAAACUUUUAUGACUCGACUGACCUAACUAACUAGCCAAACCAAGAGGAAUUGUGCAUUAUUUAUAAUUAAGUGGGCAACUACGGCUGCCCUUUCUUUUUGAGGCCCUAAAUUUCUUAGUGCAGGGCUUUAAUCUCUACUUCGAGCUUAUCUUUAUCGCUCCUAAGGCUGUGGAUCAAUUUGAAACAGAUCCCUACCUGUUUGUCCAUGCCUUCUAUAAGCUUGUCCCUUAGAUUGUUGGACUUCUCCAUCCCCCUGACAAUAUUAGAGAGGCCUUCUAGCUUUUCGUUGAGGGUGCACAAGGUAGGAGCUGGCUGCUUGGGAGUUUUCUUCAGUGCUAGUGCUGAUGUUGCUCUCUUCAUCUUGGGCUUAGGUGUCGGUGCGAGAUGCUCGACGUAGCACACCUCGUUAGGGUCAGCCCAAAUGCCAUGGAUAACUGGACGAAUGGUGGUAUACUUGGCACAGAUCAACUUCUCAUUCUCAUCGAUUUGGACCGACAAGAGCCGCUCGUUCUCCCUAGGUUGGAGAAGCGGAGUACCCUUGGGGAUAGCGACCUGCUUUCUAUUAGCAAUUCCUUGCAGCAAUCACCUUGUAGGCGAGGGAUCCGAUGGUUCUUGUAUGUAGUAGGCUUGAUCAUAGCGCUGGGGUACUGUGGUGACAUUCUUCGGCGGCACAACAGUGAGAGGCUUCGGUGGCACCAUGGCGAGAGGCUUUGGCGGCACCACGGCGAGAGGCUUCAGUUGGGCGAGGACGAGGGCCUUCGAGUUGUCGACUGCCUUGUCCACCAUAUGGGUUUUCACAAGAUGGGAUGAGCACGGAUUCUAGGCUCUACGGGAUCCGUACAAAAGAAUAUUCGAUUAUGACUAGAUUAUGCACGAAUAUCUGUAGGAAGAGUGCAGAAGAACAGGGAACGAGAGUCGGGACAGGGGGCGACAGGGUGGCGCUGAUCGGCCCCACAUUGGAGCCGGCCGGCCCCACCAGGGGCCCACUUCGGGUGCCCUUCUCCGUGGUGCCUUUAGACUCUUCCUAUUUUCUGUUGAACGUAUUUUGAAAUAAAAUCUCAUACUAGAAUAAAUAGAACUUAAUAUGGUGGUAAUUGGAUAAAUUAUAUCUCAUCAAUUACUCCUGAAUCAAAUGGUUCUAAAUAAAGUUUAAGUUGGUGUUCAUUUACCUUGAAUAACGUACCUUCGCUUGAUUGUAGAGUUACCGCUCCGUGUGGUGAUGAAUUCACGACGGUGAAGGGUCCUUCCUAUUUGCUCCUCAAUUUUCCAAGCCUGAAUAAUUUGAACCUGGAAUUAAAAAGUAAUACCUUAUCUCCUAGUGCAAAUUCCUUCUUCUUGAUCCUCUUGUCAUGCCAUCUCUUUGUUUGUUCUUUAUAGAUCUUCGAAUUGUGGUAUGCUUUUUCUCUCCAUUAUUCUAGUUUUAAUAAUUGUAUUUUUCUUUUCUCUCUAGCGGCUUUAAAAUCCAUAUUCCAUCUUUUGAUAGCCCAAUGAGCUUUAUGUUCUUGUUUGACUGGCAAGUCAUAGGUUUUACCAUAUACCAAUUGAUAUGGUGACAUACCCAAUGGUGUUUUAUAAGUUGUCCAGUAUGCCCAUAGUGCAUUUGGUAAGAGUUCCCAUCUCAUUUACUGUUUUCUAGAGAAUAUUUUUGAUUUGUUUAUUUGAUGUUUCUACCUGUUCACUUGUCUGAGGAUGAUAUGGAGUAGCGACAUUAUAUCGUAUUCCAUGAGUUUGUAGGUAUAAGUGAAACUUUUUAUCAGUGAAGUGUGUUCCUCCAUCACUUAUAACCAUCCUAGAUGUUCCAAACCUUGGAAAUAUAAUCUCUUCAAACAUCCUCUUUGAGUGUCUUGAGUCAUCCUUCUUGCAUGGCAUGGCUUCUACCCACUUGGAUACGUAGUCAACUGCCACCAAAAUAUACUCGUAGUUCCAUGGCUUCACGAAUCUUCCCAUGUAAUCAAUUCUCCAGACAUUAAAGAGCUCUAUCUAAAGAUUGUUGGUGAGUGGCAUAGCAUCUCUGGUAGUGAUAUUUCCAUGCCUCUGACAUGGCCCACAUCUUCGGAUAAAAUCUUUGGUGUCUUCAUACAUGGUUGGCCAAAAGAAACCACUUUGCCAAAUUUUUGCAUGAGUACAAAAUACCCCAUAAUGACCUCCAUAUGGUGAUGAAUUACAUUUCUGUAUGAUCUGCAUGCCCUCCUCCACUGGUACACAUCUUCUCAGCAACCCAUCUGAGCACACCUGAAAGAGAUAGGGUGGAUCCCAUAUGUGCAGACGACUUUCAUAAAUAAGCUUCUUCUUGUUUUCUCCUGGCAGUACGUAUCCUGCAACCAUAAAGUUGACAAUAUUCGUGUACCAAGGAUCUGUCUUGGUCACUUUAAAGAGCAUGUCAUCUCUUAAUGAGUAAUUAAUAGGUAACUCUUCAGGUUCUUUAAAAUACAUCCUAGACAAAUGAUCAGCAAUAGAAUUUUCUACACCUUUUCUAUCUUUAAUUUCCAAAUCAAAUUCUUGAAGUAAUAAGAUCCAUCUUAUUCAUCGUGGUUUAGCAUCUUUCUUAGUGAGCAAAUAUGUAAGAGCAGCAUCGUCAGAAUAAACAAUUAUUUUGGCUCCAACUAAGUAAGACCUAAUUUAUCAAUAGCAAAAACAACAGCUACAAGUUCUUUUUUAGUGGUUGCAUAAUUUAAUUGUGCUUCUGUCAUUGUUCUGCUAGCAUAAGCAAUUGCAUGAUGCAUUUUAUCUUUUUUUGUCCUAAGACUGCGCCUACAAUCACUAGCAUCACACACAAUUUCAAAAGGUAAAGACCAAUCAGGGGGUUGAAUGAUUGGUGCUGAUGUCGGUGCUUCCUUAAGAAUAUUAAAUGAUUCUAAGCAUUCAUCAUCAAAUUCAAAAGCUACAUCCUUAGCUAAUAAUCUAGUCAAUGGCCUAGCUAUUUGUGAGAAAUUUCUUAUAAAUCUGCAAUAAAAACCACAAUGACCAAUAAAGCUUCGGAUUCCUUUUAUAUUUACAGGUGGAUGUAGUUGUUUGAUUACUUCAAUUUUAGCUUUAUCUACCUCUAUGCUUCUUUCUGAUACUAAGUGUCCUAACACUAUUCCCUCUCUAACCAUAAAAUGACAUUUCUCCCAAUUGAGGACUAAGUGUUUUUCUUCACAUCUUUGCAAGACCUUAUCUAAAUUUUCUAAACAAUCAUCAAAAGUUUUUCAAUAAACUGAAAAGUCAUCCAUAAAAACUUCCAUGAUUUUUUCUAUCACAUCAAAAAAUAUAGACAUCAUGCAUCUUUGGAAAGAAGUAGGUGCAUUACAUAAUCCAAAAGACAUUCUAUGAUAAGCAUAAGUUCCAUAGGGACAUGUAAAUGUCACACCCAUAUUUUAAGAACAAAAUAGGAUGCAUAAAAGACUCAUAUGUGCCCCAGAAUUUUGUCGCACACAUAAGUAGACAAAUCUCAAAUGUGCCAUUGCAGUGUUUAUUACAUAGCAAAACAUAAUAGAUCACAUAGUCUUAUACAAAAAUGAUAGCAUGAAGUAAACAACGCUCUCGAUGGAAGCUCCACACAGGGACAAACAUUGACUCGUUGACUUCAAACCUAAUACUCAUAGCGAUAGUGCUCAUUCCAAUCAUCAUCAUUAGCAUAACCUGGGGUGUUGGGAAAUUGCAAGAGUGAGCACAUAUCAUACUCAACAAGUAUAACUAGGGGUUCAUGAGGCUCAAACAGCUGAUACUGGUUUGACUGCAUUUAGCUUUUAAUAGUGGAUAGCAUGUUUAAUCAUUGGAUAGAAAAUAUCAAGGUAGCAUAAAUAAUCCCAUAACCAUAUGAUCAAUUGUAUACAAGAAUUAAGAAUAACACAUACAAACAACAUAAUAAACCAUCAUUUACCAUCAUUAUUCACGUUCAUCAGUGUCCAUCUAUUCUGUCAGUUUUCCGGGCCGCCCGUAUCCGUGGGCACGGCUAGUAUACCAGAUUUAACACUCUGCAGAGGUUGUACAUCUUUACCCAUGAGUCAUGAUUUACCCUUUCGCCUGAGGUAGCUAGUCUCUUAACCCCCUUCCUAGGGAGGUUGGCAGGGAUCACUAUGAAGCCUUUCAAAAGUUCGUCUAACAUGUUAGGGCCGCAAGGUUUCCUUUGCGCGCAGAUAUAGAUACCCCCCUUCCAAAUGGCACAAUAACGCGCAGCCUAUACACAUAAGGACAGGGGCUCGCACUAUACCCAAAACGGUUUAGCCCCUCCGCCCUUUCGGGUAACAACUAACAAGCUAGAAAAGUUCUUCAUACUGAGCUAAAGCCAGAGCCAUAUAGCCCUCAUGGUUGUAUGAGUUGUCCCAGCUUUUGCCAAGGGAUAAGUCCUUAUGGAGGGUCAAGAUCAAUCCAACAAAAGCCAGAGUUCUUUCCACCCUUUAUAUUCAAGUUGCUAGAAAGCUUAUUUUAUUGUUUAUUGUAUAUUGAAAUAUUCAUGUUACAAGAUCAUGGAUUAAUAAUAAAGCACUAGCAAGAACUACCCAAAUGCAUAUCCAAAUAGGUAACAAGGAAUUCAGGAUAACAAUCAUCUAUGAUUUUGCUAAGGUCAUCAAGGUGGACACAUGCAAAUGAUAAAUGCUAUAUUAAUUGUGUACAAGUAACAAGGAUAGUCCCCAGUUAUACUUGCCUUGAUCAAAGCUCUCCUGAGCCUACUGGUCUUCAAAGCCUUGAUCUUGAUCACCAACGUACGGCUCACCGUCUAAUCCCAAUCAUCAAUCAACAACACACCGUCCAAUGUAGACAAUCAUACACGAAGCAAACAAACUAUAAUUAGAACAUUACACCAAACAGUAGUAAAACAAAUAUAAAAGUUUACCAAAAUAUUCUACGCAGCACUACGAUCACAGAAACGUAAAGUUCACGAAAAUCAGAAUUAGAACGGUGAAGUUAUGAAUUUUCUAAGAUAUCCUAUAGAUAAAUAAUUAAUUAAAUGCUACUGCGAAAUUCAAAAGUUUCAAAACAGAGAAAUAAUACUUCUAAUUGUAGAGCUUGUAAAUACGAAUCUAAGGAAAUUUGAAUGGAUUAAAUUGGAGUUAAAACGAAUAUUUUAUGAGCAAAACAAUUUCAAUGGCAAACUUGUAAAAAACAGAAAGCGUAUUUUGAGUCAGCCGGCCAGGAUUACGCUUUCGCCAUUGCAAAACGAAGUCUGCUCAGGGCGCCAAGGACUGCGGAUUGGAUUUCAAAGAAACUCAGGGUCUCUUUAGGAAAACACGCAGCGAAGGGGUAUGUUUUCGGCCCUUAGAUCUCGAUCCAACGGCUCGGGCACGUCCAGGGGGCCAGUGGCGGCAGGCCGGCUGUCGGGAAAACCUCCGGCGCGGCGGCGCCAUUGAUGGCCGCGGGGAGCUCGCCGGUGAGCUCCAAACCCGUGAUUCGGUGCACCAAACGACGAUUCAAGGGCACCGGGGAGUGGAGAAAAACACUGCGAACUCACCUAGGAGCUUGGUUUGGCCAGGGGACGCACGUAUGGAGCUCACGGCGGCGGUGAGAAGAACUUUGCUCGGCGAGAUCCAAUCGAGCUCAAAAAGGGCACCUAUGAUCUGGUUUUGUUGCGGUUUGGAUGCAAAAGGAGUCCGCGGCUCCGGGGAAAGAACUUUAUAGGACUCGGUUUGCCUCCUUGGGAAGGAAAUCCCACGGUUUCGGGAUCGUUUCGGCCGAAGAAAGUAUCCUGCUCGAACACGGCUGGAGGUAGGGGAUGAUUCGGCUGACAUGUGGGCCCGAAGAUCAGUGAGACAAGGAGGAAGGGAGGGGAGGCGCGCGCCUGGGCCGCGGGGGGGAAAUGGGCCAUGCCCUGGCCGAGGCUGGUGCUGCUGCUGCUGGGCUGGGGUUUUCCUUUUUUUUCUAUUUUCUUUUUUUUUCUGUUUUCUAAAGCCUUCUUAAAUAGAAUUUUGAGAGCACCCAAAAUCCAACCCAAAGCAAUCAACACCACAAGAAGAUAUGCUUCAUCAUGUAUGCAUAAACAAGCUUCUAACUCUAUGUUGAAUUUUAAAUUUCAAUAAAAUUUAUUUCUUCACUAAUUUAAAUGCUCACAAGAUAUUUAAUUAAAUCAAAUUAAAUCCUAUUAAUUGAAAAUUAAAUUUUGGGUGUUACAAAUUCUACCCCCUUAAAAGAAUCUCGUCCUCGAGAUUGAGCAGAACUUACUCAAACAAAUAUGAAUUUGAUUUUCUCAGAUCAUCCCCUCUUUCCCAAGUUCCUUCCGCUUCUGAAUAUCGAUUCCAUUGCACUUUGCACAUUUUAAUAACCCGACUUUUGGUGACUCUCUCAGCUGUUUCUAAAAUUCAGACCGGAUACUCUUCAUAAGUGAGAUCACCUUUAACAGAAAGCUCUUCCAAUGAUAUUUGCUCCUCAGGUACACGCAAACACUUCUUAAGUUGUGACACAUGGAACACAUCAUGCACACCAGACAAACUUUCAAGCAACUCUAACUGAUACGCUACUUAUCCACACCAUUGCAAAACUUUAAACGGACCAACAUACCUUGGAGCUAGCUUUCCUUUCAUAUUAAACCUCUUCACACUCCGCAUAGGUGACACUUUCAGAUAGACAUAAUCACCUUCCUCGAAAGCUAGUUCUCUCCUACGUGUAUCUGCAUAACUUUUCUGACGAGACUGAGCAACUCUCAAAUUAUCCCAGAUAGUCCACACUUGUUGUUCUGCAUGUCUAACCACAUCCGUACCAAACACCUAAGUUUCUCCUAUCUGAUUCAAAAACAAAGGUAUGUUGGUCCGAACGGUGCCUACUUCUUAACAUCUCCUAUCUGAUUCAAAAACAAAGGUAUGUUGGUCCGAACGGUGCCUACUUCUUAACUUGCGACCAUACAGUGCCUCGAACGGUGCCAUCUUAAGACUCUGUUGAUAGCUGUUGUUGUAGGAAAAUUCGGCAUAUGGCAAACUCUUGUCCCAACUGGUUCCAUACUGCAAGGCACAAGCUCUUAACAUAUCCUCCAGUAUCUGAUUGAUCCUUUCAGUCUGUUCAUCUGUCUGUGGAUGAUAUGCUGUACUAAAAUUCAACUUUUUCCCCAAGGAAUCAUGCACUGCUUUCCAAAAAGUAGAGGUGAACUGAGUGCCUCUAUCAGAUACAAUCUUCUUAGGCACUCUAUGCAAACAAACUAUCCGCUCCGUAUGCAACUCUGCUAGUCAAGCUCCUGAAUCAGUGGUUUUGACUAGCAAGAAGUGAGCGACUUUAGUCAAUCGAUCCACUAUUACCCAUAUUGAAUCAUAUCCUCUCUCUGUACGAGGUAAACCCACUAUGAAAUCCAUGCCUACUUCUUCCCACUUCCAUUCAAGAAUCUUCAUUUGUUGCAACUGUCCAGCUGGCCUCUGAUGUUCGGCUUUCACUCGCUGACAAGUAUCACACAAAGCAAUAUACUCUGCUACAUCUCUCUUUAAACGAUACCAUCAGUACUUCUGUUUCAGAUAUAAAUACAUCUUUGUACUACCAGGGUGAAUGGAAUAUGCUGACUCAUGAGCCUCUCUCAGAAUCAUAUCACGAAUAGCCAUCACUUCAAGAACACAUAUCCUUUUUUCAAACCACAAUACACCAUUGUCAUCUAUUUUGAAUCCUGGUGCUUUGCCUAGUACCACAUUCUGUGCUAUCUCCUGUAGUUUCUCAUCUUCCAACUGUCCUUUCAAUAUCUCUUCCUCCAGAGUAGGAGUGACCUCAAUUUCUAUAGCAUUUACUACAAUUCCCAAGUUCAAAUAUGCAAAUUGAGCACACCACUCCUCAGAUUCAGGUGUCGCCCAAAGCUCAUUAGCAUAUUUCUUUCUACUAAGUGCAUCGGCCACGACGUUCCCCUUUCCAGGAUGAUAAUGCAAUUCCAAAUCAUAAUCCUUUAUCAGUUCCAACCAUAUUCGUUUCCUCAAAUUCAGAUCUGUCUGGGUGAAGAUAUACUUUAAACUCUUAUGAUCCGUAUAUAUGUCACUCUUAUGCCCAAUCAAAUAGUGUCUCCAAAUCUUCAAUGCAUGGACCACAGCUGCUAACUCUAGAUCAUGAGUAGGAUAAUUCAGUUCAUGUUUCCUCAACUGUCUAGAUGCAUAAGCAACAACUAUGCCUUCUUGCAUAAGAGCAUAACCCAAACCCAGACGAGAAGCAUCACAAUAGAUAGAGAAACUCUUACUCAGAUCUGGCAAUACCAACACAGGUGCAGUAGUCAAUCUCUUCUUAAACUCCUCAAAACUAGAUUGACACUUAUCAGACCAUACAAACUUAGCAUUCUUCUCCAACAGAGCAGUCAUAGGCUUUGCAAGUUUUUAGAACCCUUCAAUGAAUCUAUGACAGUAACCAGCUAAACCAAGAAAACUGCGAAUUUCACUUACAUCUGUAGGUGGUUUCCAAUUCAGCACAUCUUUCACCUUACUAGGAUCCACUGCAAUACCACCAUUAGAGACAACGUGACCAAGAAAAGAAACUUCCUGCAACCAAAACUCACAUUUACUACAAUUAGCAUAUAGCUUAUGUUCUCUAAGUUUCUGUAAGACCAAUCUUAGAUGUUCUGCAUGUUCUUACUUGGUUUUAGAGAAUACCAAAAUAUCAUCAAUAAAGACCACCACAAACUUAUCAAGAUACUCCAUAAAUACUCUAUUCAUCAUGUACAUAAAGUAAGUUGGUGCAUUGGUCAAACCAAAAGACAUAACUGUAUACUCAUACAACCCAUACCUUGUUGUGAAAGCUGUCUUUGGUAUAUCUGAAUUCUGAAUCUUCAAUUGAUGAUAACUAGAACGCAAAUCAAUCUUAGAGAACACACAAGCACCUCUUAACUAAUCAAAUAAGUCAUCAAUCCUAGGCAAGGGAUAUUUAUUCUUGAUAGUGACCUCAUUAAGUGACCGAUAAUCAACACACAUCCUCUGACUACCAUCCUUCUUAUCAACAAAGAUAACUGGUGCACCCCAUGGUGAUGAACUAGGACGAAUGAACCCUUUUUCUUGAAAUUCUUUAAUUUGUUUCUUAAGUUCUUCUAGUUCACUAACCCCCAUUCUAUAUGGUCUUUUAGCUAUGGGUGCAGUACCAGGUAGUAAUUCAAUAAUAAAUUCAAUGUCUCGGUCAGGUGGCAUUCCUGACAAUUCAUCUGGAAAGACAUCCGGAAACUCAUCCACUACUAGAUUCUGAGGAUCAACAUCAUCAUUCAAUUGGUUCACUUUAGCUGUGAGUGGUGCUUGCUCUGUUACAUCAACACUGAUUCGUUCUCCCUUUAGUGUUAUAACAGCCACUACUCUCUCUUUGCAAUUAAUAUUUGUCUCAUGUAGCUUCAUCCAAUCCAAACCCAAGAUCACAUCUAUGCCUGAAGUUCUCAUAACCAUGGGACUGAUAGGAAAAUCUACCCCCCUUAAAGAAAGACUUGCUGAGGGGCAACAACAAGAAACUGGUAUAGUCCCACCCGGUGAGUUUACUAGCAUAGGGGUUUUCAUUGCAACUAGUGGAAUGCUAUGAACUCUAACAAAUGCUUGUGAAAUGAAUAUAUGCGAAGCUCCAAAAUCAAAUAAAACUAUAGCAGGGAUAGAGUUGAUGUUGAACGUACCCAUCAUAAUCUCUGGUCCCUCCUGAACUGUCUCCGUAGCCACAUUGUUCACUGUUGCUGCAUAAGCAGUAGACUUCUGGUUGCUGUUUGGCUUGUUGAGCUUCUCCGGGCAAUCAUAUGACAUAUGUCCCUCUUUCCCACAACGGAAACACCUGGUAGGAGUGUUAGAAGCACUUCUUUUCGUGGAGGUAGCAUUUGAAUUCCCUGAGCGGGGUGUUUGCUGACCAUGCUGCUGUUGAUUAUGGUUACGUUGUUGGAAUGGAGGACGUUGGUUCCCACUCUAUGAUUGAUUCUGGAAACGUUGGGGUUGUUGGUUGCGGUUCCACUGACUAACUGGUCCCUGUAACCUCUGCUGAUGGCCUUGCUGAGAACUGAAACGCUAACGGUUGUUGCUCCCAGAACCUUGUGCCAGCAUCCUUCUCUUCUUAUCCUGCCCCUUACGCAUGUUGUCCAACACUAUAGCCCGAUUCACCAGAGCUUGAAAGGUAGGAUAAGUGUUUCCUACCAGCUGCAACCUGAGUUCAUAGUAUAGGCCUUUCAUGAACAAGCGCUGCUUAUCAGCAUCUUCUCUGACAUCGUUCGGAGCAUAGCGAGCCAACUGUUCAAAUGUGUCAUGAUAUUCUGCCACAGUCAUAGAGCCCAUCCUGAGUGAUCUGAAUUCUUCUUGCUUGAGCUCCAUCAUUCCUUAAUUUAUAUGUCGAGCUCUGAAGUCUCUAUAGAAUUCUAGUCAAGUGACAGGAGGAGCAUUGUUGGGACGAGCAGCUUGAUACGACUCCCACCAUGUCUGAGCUGCACCAUGAAGUUGUCCAGAAGCAUACAAUACUUUUUCCAUAUCAUUGCACUGGGCUAUGUUCAGUUGUCUCUCUAUAGCACGAAGCCAAUCAUCUACCUCCAUAGAAUCAGCUGAGUGUGUAAACACCGAGGUCUUCCCUUCAUAAAUUUGCCACGCUUAUCUCUCACAUGAAUAGGUGGUGGUGGUGGUGGAGGUUGCUGCUGUAAGUGCUGCAUAAAAACGUGCAUCAUCUCAUUUUGGGUUUGCAUGAGUUCCUCCACAGUAAUUGGGGCAUUGCCACCAUUGCCACGGUCUUUGCCUCUGCCUCUUCCCCUUGCUGCCAUCUGCAUUCCAAGGUAUAGAAACAUGUCUUAAUAAUGUCCAACAUGACAAUUACAAGAGGUAACAGAAUCUGAACUUUUCUGGGUAACAUCCAACAUCAGCAGAUCAGAAAAUCAGUCAUAUCGCGAGUUCCAGAAUUCAAAAGGAUACGUGCUAUACACCGUUGGAAAGAUAAAGAAAUUGUCUAGAACUUUCAUUUAGAUCAUAUUAACAGAUUCCAAAAUUAGGUUAAUCAAAAACUGGGUACAACCAAAACUGUCCAGAAUUCCAGACUGUGCAGAAACUUCAAAUUUAAACUGCCAUAACUCACAGGUCAUAACAGAUAAUAAUGUCAUUCUUGAGGAAUUGGAAAGAUAUGGAAGUCUACUUUUUCCCAGAAAAAGUUGAUGAAAUUUGCACGAACAGAUUUUGAUUUAUACCAGAAUCAUUGCAGACUGCUCCAGAAAACAGCGAUGGACAGAAACAGAAUUUUACCCAAACCCAACUAUUUAGUUCAUUAAUCCUUAUGCCUUAGGCCUAUAGAAUAAACGAAAUUGUAGAGAAAAUCCACAAGAUCAUUACACUCAUUACAAAGAUCCAAAUCAAGCAUAAGUAUAAUAACAAACCAAACCAAGCAUCAAAGAUUCACACUUCAAGCAUUGACUCAACUUGCGGUGCUAUCGUUCUCUUCCUAUUAAGGACAAAGAUCCAAAAAUCCUAUUUCAAUGACGUGAGAAGGUGGUAAGACAAAGUUCUAAAACCAUAUCGAGCAAGGAGUGGGGGUGAGAACUAAUCUUUAAAAUAAGCAUCAAGGUGAGGAUGAAUAGCAACGAAAAGGAUAUAGUAUAGAGGAAAAUACCAAGGUUUGUAGAACAAGGAUUUUACAGCAAUUUCAAAACCUUAAUACGACCAAUUUCUAACUAGGCUUCCGUCCGACAGUCAACAAAUCUUUGAUACCAAUUUGUCACACCCAUAUUUUAAGAACAAAAUAGGAUGCAUAAAAGACUCAUAUGUGCCCCAGAAUUCAGUCGCACACAUAUACCAUUGCAGUGUUUAUUACAUAGCGAAACAUAAUAGAUCACAUAGUCUUAUACAAAAAUGAUAGCAUGAAGUAAACAACGCUCUCGACGGAAGCUCCACAUAGGGACAGACAUUGACUCGUUGACUUCAAACCUAAUACUCAUAGCGAUAGUCCUCAUUCCAAUCAUCAUCAUUAGCGUAACCUGGGGUGUUGGGAAAUUGCAAGAGUGAGCACAUAUCGUACUCAGCAAGUAUAACCAGGGGUUCAUGAGGCUCAAACAGUUGACAGUGGUUUGACUGCAUUUAGCUUUUAAUAGUGGAUAACAUGUUUAAUCAUUGGAUAGAAAAUAUCAAGGUAGCAUAAAUAAUCCCAUAACCACAUGAUCAAUUGUAUACAAGAAUUAAGAAUAACACAUAUAAACAACAUAAUAAACCAUCAUUUAUCAUCAUUAUUCAAGUUCAUCAGUGUCCAUCUAUUGCGUCAGUUUUCCGGGCCGCCCGUAUCCGUGGGCACGGCUAGUAUACCAGAUUUAACACUCUGCAGAGGUUGUACAUCUUUACCCAUGAGUCACGAUUUACCCUUUUGCCUGAGGUAGCUAGUCUCUUAACCCCCUUCCUAGGGAGGUCGGCAGGGAUUACUAUGAAGCCUUUCAAAAGUUUGUCUAACAUGUUAGGGCCGCAAGGUUUCCUUUGCGCGCAGAUAUAGAUACCCCCCUUCCAAAUGGCACAAUAACGCGCAGCCUACACACAUAAGGACAAGGGCUCGCACUAUACCCAAAACGGUUCAGCCCCUCCGCCCUUUCGGGUAACCACUAAUAAGCUAGAAAUGUUCUUCAUACUGAGCUAAAGCCAGAGCCAUAUAGCCCUCAUGGUUGUAUGAGUUGUCCCAGCUUUUGCCAAGGGAUAAGUCCUUAUGCAGGGUCAAGAUCAAUCUAGCAAAAGCCAGAGUUCUUUUCCACCCUUUAUAUUCAAGUUGCUAGAAAUCUUAUUUUAUUGUUUAUUGUAUAUUGAAAUAUUCAUGUUACAAGAUCAUGGAUUAAUAAUAAAGCACUAGCAAGAACUACCCAAAUGCAUAUCCAAAUAGGUAACAAGGAAUUCAGGAUAACAAUCAUCUAUGAUUUUGCUAAGGUCAUUAAGGUGGACACAUGCAAAUGAUAAAAGCUAUAUUAAUUGUGUACAAGUAACAAGGAUAGUCCCAAGUUAUACUUGCCUUGAUCAAAGCUCUCCUGAGCCUGCUGGUCUUCAAAGGCUUGAUCUUGAUCACCAACGUACGGCUCACCGUCUAAUCCCAAUCAUCAAUCAACAACACACAGUCCAAUGUAGACAAUCAUACACGAAGCAAACAAACUAUAAUUAGAACAUUACACCAAACAGUAGUAAAACAAAUAUAAAAGUUUACCAAAAUAUUCUACGUAGCACUACGAUCACAGAAACGUAAAGUUCACGAAAAUCGGAAUUAGAACGGUGAAGUUAUGAAUUUUCUAAUAUUUCCUAUAGAUAAAUAAUAAUUAAAUGCUACUGCGAAAUUCAAAAGUUUCAAAACAUAGAUUUAAUACUUCUAACAUGUAGAGCUCGUAAAUACGAAUCUAACAAAAUUUGGAUGGAUUGAAUGGAGUUAAAAUGAAUAUUUUAUGAGCAAAACAAUUUCAAUGGCAAGCUUGUAAAUAACAGAGAGCGUAUUUUGAGUCAGCCGGCCAGGAUUACGCUUUCGCGGUUGGAAAACGAAGUCUGCUCAGGGCGCCAAGGACUGCGGGUUGGAUUUCAAAGAAACUCAGGGUCUCUUUAGGAAACGCGUAGUGAAGGGGUAUGUUUCAUUUUCAGCCCUUAGAUCUCGAUCCAACGGCUCGGGCGCGUCCAGGGGGGCCAGUGGCGGCGGGCCGGCCGCCGGGAAAACCUCUGGCGCGGCGGCGCCAUUGAUGGCCGCGGGGAGCUCGCCGGAGAGCUCCAAACCCGCGAUUCGGUGCACCAAACGACGAUUCAAGGGCAACGGGGAGUGGAGAAAAACACCACGAACUCACCUAGGAGCUUGGUUUGGCCAGGGGACGCACGUAUGGAGCUCGCGGCGGCGGUGAGAACAACUUUGCUCGGCGAGAUCCAAUCGAGCUCAAAAAGGGCGCCUAGGGUUUGGUUUUGUUGCUGUUUGGAUGCAAAAGGAGUCCGCGGCUCCUGGGAAAGAACUUUAUUGGACUCGGUUUGCCUCCUUGGGAAGGAAAUCCUGGGGUUUCGGUAUCGUUUCGGCCGAAGAAAGUUUCCUGCUCGAACACGGCAGAAGGUAGAUGAUGAUUUGGCUAACAUGUGGGCCCGGAGAUCAGUGAGACAAGGAGGAAGGGAGGGGAGGCGCGCGCCUGGGCCGCUGGGGGGGGGGAAAUGGGUCACGCCCUGGCCGAGGCUGCUGCUGCUGCUGCUGGGCUAGGGUUUUCCUUUGUUUUCUAUUUUCUAUUUUUUCUGUUUUCUAAAGCCUUUUUAAAUAGAAUUUUGAGAGCACCCAAAAUCCAACCCAAAGCAAUCAACACCACAAGAAGAUAUGCUUCAGCAUGUAUGCAUAAACAAGUUUCUAACUCUAUGUUGAAUUUUAAAUUUCAAUAAAAUUUAUUUCUUCACUAAUUUAAAUGCUCACAAGAUAUUUAAUUAAAUCAAAUUAAAUCCUAUUAAUUGAAAAUUAAAUUUUGGGUGUUACAGUAAAUGUGGUUUUGUUUUGAUCAUCACGGUGGAUAGGGAUUUGGUGAUAUCCUGAAUAACCAUCAAGAAAACAAAAUAAAGAAUGAUUGGCUAAACGCUCUAGCGUCUCAUCAAUGAAAGGUAGAGGAAAAUGAUCUUUCUUAGUUGCCUUGUUGAGUUUUCUAUAAUCUAUGCACAUUCGCCAUCCAGUGAUAGUUCUUUGAGGUAUUAAUUCAUUUUUGUCAUUUCGGAGAACUGUCAUUCCUCCUUUUUUAGGUACAACUUGUACAGGACUUACCCACUCACUAUGCGGUACAAGAUAUAUAAUCCCUGCAUGCAAAAGCUUUAAGACCUCUUUCUUUACUACGUCUCUCAUGGAAUUCUCGAGUCUCCGCUGAGGCUCUCUUGAAGGAGUAAUUUCUAGAUUGGUUGGUAUGCGAUGAGUGCAAAGAACAUGGCUAAUCCAUUUUAAGUCUUGGAGUGAAUAAUCAAAAGCAGCAUGGUGUUCUUCUAGAAUAGUUAUUAGUUUAUAAGUCUCCUCAUCAGAGAGUUUAUCACUAAUAAUCAUAGGAUAUUUUUGUUUAUUAUUUAGUGUGGGGGUAUAAACCCCUAUACCCUUACGGCUAGACUUCAGCCAGGAAGCUUGGCUCACUACGAGACGAGUUCAAGGCUUGAUCCGACAGCUCGGAGUUUCGCGCAAGGAAACAAGACGUGGAGAUCAAGCAGGAUUCUAGUCGGUUAGAAUAGGAAUUGAUAUCAAAUUAUCUAUGGCAAUUGUAACCGACUAGGAUUAGUUUCCAGAUCUGUAACCCUGCCCUCCAAACUAUAUAAGGAGGGGCAAGAGACCCCCCUAGGACAUCAUAUUCUCUCAGCACAAAUCAAUACAACCAGACGCAGGACGUAGGUAUUACGCCAACUCGGCGGCCGAACCUGGAUAAAAAGCUUGUCCGUGUCUUGCGUCACCAUCGAGUUCGUAGUUCGCGCACCGUCUACCGAUAAACUACUACCGUGGGUAUACCCCAAGGUAGACUGCCGACUAGCUUUCGUCGACAGUGGCGCGCCAGGUAGGGGGUGUGCGUGCAACUUUUCCGGCGAACAAGAUGGUCACGAUCCCAGCUUCCGCGACCGUGCCCGAAGGCCUCACGUUCACCGUCGGCCAGAUCACGUGGACGACGUGCAGUGGCGGCUUCGCGACCACGGUUCCGAAAGAGAUCCAGAUCCAAUCUGAGAUCACGCCGUCUCCGACCACACUCAUGACGGCACCAAGCUCCCGACCACCGUUCCCACUCUACAAGGGAAAGGAGAUCGACUGGUCGGACCUCCUCCAAGCGCUCGAUCGCGCUGACUCCAAGCUACUCGAAGUCUCCCAACUAAUAGAUGGAGUUCUGCGCCGGCCCGACCAAGCUGCUCGAGCGGAUUUUUCGAAAUCCCGCCGGCCAACUCGUGUCGCCACACACGAACGGCUGGGAACGUCCCUGACGAUAACCUCAACCCCCUCAGGACGAUCCGUCGAGCUCAAAAAGGAAGACUAUCCUUGCGGCCUGAACAACUCGGCCUCUGUUUACUCACAGCAUGUCCAAUCCGUUUUCAGCAAAGCGGGCUGGUCGCCGACAAGGAACAAUCGUCACCAUGUCAACAUGGUGACAAUCCGAGAGCUACGGGACGGCCAGGUUUCCAGCACCAACUCAAGCACCGGCUCCGUCCCCACCGAGGUUAUAAACACCGAAGCCGAGGGCUACGACCUGGAUUUUCCUUCACACCCUCCGGGUUUCGACCGAUUCCCGAUAUUCCCCCCCCCCCGGCGAGGGGAUAUCGUGUUCAAUGUCAGCGCCGACGAACCGGCUGUUGACGGAGAAACAGAUGACCAGAGGCAACUCCGCGAACAGCGUAACGCCGAUCGCGCCCGACGGCGUGCGGACGAGCAACAACAGAUGCCACCAAGUAACCUCAACGAUGCCUUCGACAUGGUCGGGGACCAGCCAGUCUACAAAACGCCAAGCGCCAACGUGGCUGUCGCCAUGGCCAACUUGGAUCGGCUUCCUGACACCCCCGAAUGCCAGGGAGUCCGGACCAGCAUCCGAGCACACCUGAUCGCCGCAAUGGGACAGACAGCCACUCUGCUCAAAAGAGUCCAGGACGUCUCUUAUACGGAAGCCGCCUCCGACCAGACUAAUCGUAGCCGGGCCUCACCCAGCAGGCGUCACCGCAGCCGCUCCCCCGACAACCGUCGAGGGGACUCACGGCGCGACGAUGGUGGUCGGGACGCCGAUGGCCGCCGCCAGCAGAACCACGUACGCGGCCAAGAAGAAGAAGAUCAACACAGGGAUCUCCGCCACAACAUCCCUCCCAAAGAUGCCCGGGACCGCAUCAACAGGCGCGCCGCAGAGAGAGCAGUCCACGAAAACCUGCGCCGCAUCGAGUACGAUGCGACCCACGGUCCUCCGGGCCUAAGGCAGUUCUCCUCACACCUCCGCCAGGUCGUGUGGCCCCGCAAUUUCAAGCUCGAAAAACUUAAAAAAUACGACGGCAAGGAAAAUCCAGAGAACUGGAUCACUCUCUAUGAAAUUGCCGUCCGAUCAGCGGCAGGAGAUGAGCACGUCAUGGCUAACUACUUCCCCGUAGUCCUCGACCAGGCUGGUCAUCAGUGGCUUCUUGGCUUGCCCGAGGACUCCUUCGACUCUUGGGAAGAGCUACGACAGGCUUUCAUCGACAACUUCAUCGCCACAUGCGAGCAGCCCGGAAACAAGUAUGACCUUGAAAGGAUAAGAGACAGGAAGAAUGAACCUCUGCGCGAUUACAUCCGACGAUUCUCGGAUAUGCGCCUCAAAAUCCCGAAGAUUUCUCAUGACGAGGCCAUAUCAGCCUUUAUCAAGGGCUUGCGUUUCCAUGAAGCGCUGAGGAACAAGCUGUUGCGUAAGCGCCCAUCAACGGUAGCAGAGCUCCUCGCCACGGCUAAAAACUACGCCGAUGCUGAUGACGCAGAAAAACUAAUCCGAGACGACGCGAGAGGCCCCGACCAGCCUUCUCGGCGAGAUGACGGUCGUGGUCGCUACGACAACAGAAAUCACCGCCGCUCCGACAACCGCGAUCACCGAGAGGGUUGGGAUCGGCGGCGCGACAGCCGCGACGACUUCAGAGGAAAGCGCCCUCGUGAAUACGACCACGAAGUAAAUACGGUCAAACGUCCCAACGGACGACGGGACUACCAAGACGACUACAACAAAACGUUGAAGGGACCGUGCCAGCUACACCCAAAGUCUAACCAUACCAUGGAAGAGUGUCGCGUCCUCAAAAGUAUCUAUACACGGCGGGCCACCCAAGAGGACCCCGCCAAGAAAAAUAACAAACGCGACGGGCACGACCACGAAGAUGAGGAUGAGGACCAAAACAGGGACCCCCGACACCAAUACGUCAGCCCCACCGACGUGGUCCACUCCAUUUUCGGGGGCAAGGUCUCCACUGAGUCCAAGCGAGAAAGAAAGCUGUUAAAGAGAGCCUGCCUCAACAUAGACAGCACGGACGGGCUGAUCGCAGAUCCAAAAUUUCCCGCGUGGUCCCACAGGGAGAUCUCGUUCAGCAGGAAGGACCAGUGGGCCGCCAUCCCAGAGCCGGGUCGUUUCCCACUGAUUCUUGAUCCCUGCAUCAAUAGCAUCAGAUUCGAGCGCGUGCUCGUGGACGGGGGAAGCUCCAUCGACAUCCUCUUCCGCAACAGCCUGCCCGCCCUCAAGAUAUCACCGGCACAACUAAAACCUUACGACGCCCAAUUCUGGGGGGUUUUGCCAGGUCAAAGUUCGGUGCCCCUCGGACAGAUAACAUUGCCUGUCCAAUUCGGCACACCCGAUCACUUCCGGACGGAGUUCAUCAACUUCGUAGUCGCGGAUUUCGACGGGACCUACCACGCCAUACUGGGCCGCCCAUCGCUGACAAAGUUCAUGGCAGUCCCGCACUACUCAUACCUAGUCCUUAAGAUGCCCACGGAGAAGGGUGUCCUAACCAUCAGAGGCAACGUCUACACUGCGUACACCUGCGAAGAAGAAAGCUUCAAGAUCACCGAGGCAAUUGACCUCUCGAUCCGCAUGGCGGAAAUAGCAAACCAAGCCGCACAGCUGCCUCCCGACUAGCUCCGAUUACCUGAACAGGAGACAGCCAGAAAGAAUUCGAAAUCCAAGGAGUAUAAAGAAGUGCAGCUGGUCGAAGGCAACCCCGAGAAGACAGCCCUCAUCGGGGCUAACCUGGAUCCAAAAUAGGAAGACGCGCUCGUCAGGUUUCUAAGGGAUAACGUGAGCGUUUUCGCAUGGAAACCCGCAGACAUGCCCGGUGUCCCACGAAACCUGAUCGAGCACUCCUUAAAUGUCUCGAAGACCGCAAGACCAAUCAAGCAAAGACUGCGACGGUUCGCUCAUGACAAAAAGGAGGCUAUUAGGACAGAAAUAACACGGCUUCUAGCAGCCGGAUUCAUAAAAGAAGUGUAUCAUCCCGAUUGGCUCGCCAAUUCGGUUCUUGUACGCAAAAAGAAUAAUGAAUGGAGAAUGUGCGUUGAUUACACCGAUCUCAACAAACACUGUCCUAAAGAUCCUUUUGGUCUUCCUCGCAUCGACGAGGUGGUCGACUCAACGGCCGGAUGCGAACUCCUCUCCUUUCUAGAUUGCUACUCUGGUUAUCACCAGAUCUCGUUAAAGGAAGAAGAUCAGAUCAAAACAUCCUUCAUCACACCCUUCGGCGCAUACUGUUACACUACCAUGUCUUUCGGACUUAAAAACGCCGGGGCCACUUAUCAAAGGGCCAUCCAGCAAUGCCUCCACGACGAGAUUCGCGAUGACCUCGUCGAGGCCUAUGUGGACGACGUGGUCGUAAAAACAAGGGGCGCGAGCACCCUAAUCGACAACUUAGACCGAACCUUCAAGGCACUCAAUAGGUACAAGUGGAAGCUCAACCCCAAGAAAUGCAUUUUCGGCGUUCCUUCCGGUCUACUGCUCGGCAACGUCGUCAGUCGCGACGGCAUACGACCAAACCCUUCAAAAGUCAAAGCCGUACUCGACAUGCGACCACCGAAGAACGUCAAGGAUAUUCAGAAGCUAACCGGAUGCAUGGCCGCCCUCAGUCGUUUCAUCUCAAGGCUGGGAGAAAAAGGCCUCCCUUUCUUCAAACUACUGAAAGCGUCAGAAAAAUUCUCUUGGACAGAGGAAGCCGACGCUGCGUUCGCUCAGCUUAAGACCUUCCUCACUUCACCGCCUGUCCUCACAGCGCCUCAGCCCAAUGAAGACCUACUCCUUUACAUUGCUGCAACCGACAGGGUUGUUUCCACGGCAAUAGUGGUCGAGCGAGAUGAACCAGGUCACGCCUUCAAAGUCCAGAGACCCGUUUACUUCAUAAGCGAAGUUUUAAACGAAUCCAAGGCCAAGUACCCACAAAUACAGAAGCUUAUAUACGCCAUCCUGAUAACGUCAAGAAAGCUAAAGCACUACUUCGACGGCCAUCGAGUCCUGGUGACAACCAGCUUUCCUCUCGGGGACAUCCUGCGCAAUAAGGACGCCAAUGGCAGAAUCGUGAAAUGGGCAAUGGAAUUAUGUCCAUUUUCCCUAGAGUUCCAGAGUCGCACCACUGUUAAGUCUCAAGCCCUGGUCGAUUUCAUUGCCGAAUGGACGGAUCUCAACGAGCCUUCUGUUCCAGAUGUCUCAGACCACUGGUCUAUGUUCUUUGAUGGGUCCUUGAACAUCAACGGUGCAGGCGCUGGGAUAUUGUUCGUAUCACCUAACAAGGACAAACUUCGUUACGUCCUUCGGAUCCUUUUUCCGGCGUCAAACAAUGUCGCCGAAUACGAAGCAUGCUUACAUGGCAUACGACUAGCCGUUGAACUGGGGGUCAAGCGCCUCUAUGUCUACGGCGACUCCGCUUUGGUCAUCAACCAGCUCAACAAGGAGUGGGACGCAACCCACGAGAAGAUGGAUCUCUACUGCAAAGAAAUUCGCAAAUGGGAAACUAACUUCUAUGGCAUAGAGUACAUCCACAUGGUCCGGGAUAAGAACCAAGCAGCAGAUGCGUUGUCAAAGUUAGGCUCAUCUCGGGCCCAAAUCCCGCGGGGUAUUUUCGUCCAAGACAUCCAUGAGCCGAGCGUAAGCUCCACCCUGGUCGACAAGCAACCCACCGAGGCAAUGCUCAUAGAUGACGCCACUCCGACAACCGGUGGGCGUGACUGGCGUACCCCGUUCAUCAAAUACAUAUCAGACGGGACAGGCUUUCAGGACAAAACAGAGAACGAGCGCCUCAUCCGACGAUCAAAGAACUACAUCCUGGUCGACGGAAAACUCAUGCGGAAAAACGCAAGCUCCGAGGUACUGCUCAAGUGCAUACCCCAAGAUGAUGGUAUCAAGCUCUUGGAGGACAUACACGCCGGAUCCUGCGGCAACCACGCCGCAUCUAGAACGCUGGUCGGAAAGGCUUUCCGAGCAGGUUUUUAUUGGCCAACCGCGGUCGGCGACGCAGAAAAACUGGUUCGGCAUUGCGAAGGAUGUCAGUUUUUCGCUAAGAGGACCCACGUACCUGCCCAUGAAAUUCAAACCAUCCCGUCGUCUUGGCCCUUUGCUUGCUGGGGGCUUGACAUGAUCGGACCAUUUAAACCAGCCCCGGGCAAUUUCAAGUUUGUCUUCGUGUUAAUCGACAAGUUCUCCAAGUGGAUUGAAUACAUGCCCCUGGUCAAGGCAACCUCCGAGAAGGCUGUGGAGUUCCUCAAUAAAAUCAUACACAGAUUCGGCAUCCCGAACAGCAUAAUCACCGACCUGGGCACUCAGUUUACUGGCACCACUUUUUGGGAUUUCUGCGAUGACAGAGGCAUAGUCAUAAAAUAUGUGUCAGUGGCACAUCCACGUGCCAACGGUCAAGUUGAACGUGCUAAUGGAAUGAUCGUUGACGCCCUAAAGAAAAGGUUGUACACCGAAAACGACAGAGCACCCGGUCGAUGGAUGAAAGAAUUGCCGGCAGUGGUCUGGGGCCUCCGAACUCAGACCAGUCGAAACACAGGGGUGUCUCCCUACUUCAUGGUGUACGGUGCAGAGGCGGUCUUGCCGUCUGACAUACACUUCGGAUCUCCUAGAAUCGAGCACUUCGACCAGGCGACCGCCGACAACGCCAGAGAACUCGAAAUCAAUUGCAUGGAGGAAAAGCGUUUAGUUUCGUGUCUCCGAACAGCAAAAUAUCUCGCAGCAGUCAGGCGAUACUACAACAGGAAUGUCAAGGACCGUUCCUUCGUGGUCGGCGAUCUGGUGCUUCGAUGGAAAACAAGCCAGUAGGGAAUGCACAAGCUGUCCACCCCCUAGGAAGGACCCUUCGUGGUGACCGAGGUCACACGACCUACGUCCUACAGAUUGGCAUACCCAGACGGAACACGAGUGCCUAACUCUUGGCACAUCGACAAACUGCGACGUUUCUAUCCAUAAAGUUUUAAUGACUUUCUUUUGUAAGUAUCUUAUAAUUUUUGAUAAUGAAAUUCUCUAUUUCUGGCCCAUACCUUGUCACACACAGCACUUGGCAAAACUCCUGCAACGGAUGCUCUUAGCGACAACCAAGACAAAUGCGGUGACACGUCACUCAGAUAUUCUUACAGCGCUCAAAACAACAGUCAUGACAAAAAGCAAACUUUAUUACAAACUUUACAUACAAAGUUUACAAUAAAUACCCUGACGGGCAAACACUAGUCUAUUCCUACAGACUACUUUAUUGGCCUAGCUGCUCGGGCUGAUCACCCGCCUGGCCCUGCUGCCCGGACGAAGGGGUCGGGGCCACCGGCGCCUGGCUGGUCGAGACCGCAGGCGUCGACCGCCCAUCUCCCGCAACGGACGCGCCCGACAACUCCCUGGCCGACCUAUCUGAGCUCGGCUGGUCUGGAGGAGUGGCCGUUCCGCACAGAUUGAUGUCGCCGAUCAUUGUCGACGACAAGUCCAGCAGAUUACCCCGAAGUUCGUCCGCUUCCUGUGGGCCGACUUCCUUCAGGUACCCCUUCUCCAGCCUGCUCAAGUCGACCAGGGGGUAGUGGGCGCGCACCAUGCUGAGGAUGUGCGCGCCGGCAAACUCCCCGGCGUCCUUCACAAACUGCUGGAGCCAGUCCCACGCCCGUUGCGCCUUCUCGACCGGGGUCAACUGCGGCGCGCGGGGCUGGCUCUCCGGGAGCUCGGGACUGAUCAAGUCUAGGACCGGGGACACUCCUUUCCAGAUCCUGCAACAGUUGACCUUCCAGGAGUCCCGGUCCUUGAUCAGGUCAUCCAGGUGCUUUUUGGUGUUCACCUUGAGCACUGCAAACGAAACGAAACGUUACUUUCGGCAUACCAGACAAGCAAAGGGGCAGGCAGCAACCAACAAGGCGGCACCCAUUACCAGCUAACUCCCGGUCUUUUCGACCCAAUUCCUCUUCUGCUCGCCGCCCGGACUCCUGCGCACCGGCGAGCUGUUGGCUGAGCUGCUCCUUCUCUUGUCGGAGGCUCGCCACCUCCUCCUCCAAGUCUGCGUGAAUCCUAAACUGGUCAGCAAAGCAAACUAUACAAGUACGCGAAGCUGCUCGGAGUGUGUGACUAACCUUCUUGCAGCCGGUACUGGUCGGCCAAACGACGAGCGAGGUCGAGACGACGCUCCUUUUCGGCACUCAUCUCGACCACCUUCUCCCCGACCUCCGCCCGCAACCGGUCUACCUCCGCGGCAAGGGCCUUGUUCUCGGCCAUGACGCUUUCUAUCUGGUCAAAGCACCGUUUCCGGUACUUCGCCGUUUUCAUUACGUCCUACAAAGCAAGCAUAUAACGACCAUGCAAGACAAGGCAAAAGAAUGCGCAGCAGCACAAAAAGCCGCUUACCUUGACUUCGUCGAUGAGGCGCUUGGCCGCGCGCUCCACCCUGGCGGCCUCUUCGGUCUCGGCGAGCUCCUCAUGCCCGAUAAAGUGAUCCCCGCGUUGGCGCCACACAUACACGUGUUGGCGGCCAUCACGGGGACGACCCUCGAUCUCUUCCACCUCAUCAUCCGAGGCCGCCCGGGUUUCCUCCUCCUGUGCUGCGUCACCCCCGGUGGUGGUCCCAGGCAUUACUGGCCCUUGGACCAGACCUGGGGAGCUCGCAGCCGAAGAGGCUCCUGCUCGGGGCGGCGGGGGGACUUCACUCCCCCCGGCAGGAGGAGCGGUCGGAGAUCUUCUCUUCUCCGAGGAGUCAGUUGGAGGAGCCUCUCCAGCCCUGGUCGGGCUGCUUGUUGUAGUCGGCGCCGCGCUCGGGAGCCCCUCGGUGCUCCCAGGCGCGACUGCAGCUGUUGGCUGCUCUGUGGUCUGGGGGGCCGCAUCCCCAGAACCGCGGGCAGGCUCGCCCGUUCCCUGGCUGGCAGUUUGACCAGGGUCGACAUCCGAUGCCGCACUACAGGAACAAAAGUUAAAAAAAAAAGAGGAGUCCAAAAUACGUAAGUCGAACACUUACAGGUCUGACCGACGGUGGGUCGCGGUGAACCUCCUCCUCGCCCGGCCGGUCGGCACCUGUGCCCCCGUCUCGACAACUUGCGGGGCAGCGGCGCCGCUGGCCACUCGAUCAGUGGCGACCGGCGCAGUGUCUGGGCGGCUCCGAGGCCGUCGGACCAACGACGGCGCAGCCUCCUCGUCGUCGACGAUCCGCACGAGCCGACGACGCUUCGGUGCUUGGCUGCUCUCCGCCGGUAGAUCUGCCGGCAGCUCCGGUGUCGGCAAGGGAUCUGCCGGCAAUGGCCUUUUCCCCGCUACCCUCUCCUCGGAGGUCGGGACGGGGCGGGCUCGGUCUUCCUCACUGCUGGUGUAAUGAGUACACCGAGCAGCGUCCUCCUCUGGCGGGACCUCUCCCACAGGAUUUUCCAUCCCCGGUGCCAGUGAUACAUACACUGCGCACCGGUCGACAUCACCGACCUGCAAAAGCAACAGAGCUGAGUCAACUGCAGACGAUAUACGAAUGAUCAAACAGAAUCUGCUACAUACCUUUGGUGCUGGUCGUCCUAACUUAAAGGCUUCCACCCGAUCACUGCCACGGAUGAAGCCCCCAUCCGCGAAGUUAAACAGCUCGUUCAACAGCUGUUGUACCUCCGCUUUCUCCAAGAUCUCCAACCGCAUCCUGGUCGGAUCUGCGCUUCCGGCAUACUCGUACGCCGAGUGCACCCUCUUCUGGCAGGGCAUCACCCGGCGGCAAAUGAAGUUGCCGACCACGCCAAGCCCGUCUAGGCGCGACCAGUCGAUCAGCUUCAUGAGAUCCGCCACUGGACCGUCGAACUCCGGGCGGUCGGUCCAGCUCGCCCUCUUCUCGGGAACGUAUCCCACGUCGCAGAACGUGGAGCUACCCGGUUCCUCCCUGAUGUAGAACCACUUCCUGUACCAUUCGGUCAAGGAAGUGUUCCAUGGGCAGUGCAGGUAGCGAUUCUUCAUCCCAUCACGAAGGUUGAGGUAUACUCCACCUGCAACCUUGGAGCCUCCAACUGCUCCCUUCUUCCUCAAGCAGAAAAGAUACCGGAAAAGAUCGAAGUGCGGCUCUAUGCCAACAUAGGCCUCGCACAGGUGGAUGAAGGUGGAAAUAAGGACAAUUGAGUUCGGGUGCAGAUUGCAAAUCCCGAUCUCAUAGUACAAAAGAAGACCUUGAAGAAAAGGAUGAACAGGAACACCAAAGCCUCUCUUAACGAAAUCUUCAAAAACGACGAUCUCACCGGCGCGAGGGUCGGGGUAGCUCUCCCCCUCCGGUGCCCUCCAGCCACCGAGCUCUGCGCCGUGCAGAAGCCCCAUAUCGACGAGGUCACCAAGAGAUUUUGUGGUGCUGCGAGACUUCUUCCAUUCCUUGGCCAUCAGUUCGGCCCUCUUCCUGGAGUCGCUCUUCGCCAUUAGAGGUGCGAAUGUGGGCUGGAGUUAGGAAGAUGCAGGAGAUUGGAGAAGAUGAGAGCGGAAGGUUUGAAGGCAAUGGCAGGCGAAGCGGUACAGGAGGACCUAUUAGGCCCUUAUAAACCCGCGACUCCACCUCUCCCACUUCCUGUAUUCUCGGGAAGUGGGCAGGCCGUGCGGCGGACGCGGCGUUUCGGUUUACAAUGAUUAUAGACAAUUAAUGCGGCGGAGUUUUCGUACCAAUUAAUGGUUUCCUUUUCUCAAACCAUGCAAAGAGCGGUUGUACAGUUGCCAGGUGCAACUUUUCAUGCAUCCGUCUGACAUAUCGUCAGGAGACCUUGUCACGUCAACUUUAACUGGAAAGAUCUUUUCAAAAGUAAGAAGACACAUACGCCAGUGAGUCAACAAUCCGGGGACUGCACCGACCGCCGAGCACUCGACGCUCGAGGACUGGUCGCCCAGUCUAACAGCUCGGAACUCCGGGGACUGCACCGACCACCGAGCACUCGACGCUCGGGGACUGGUCGCCCAGUCUAUCAGCUCGGAACUUCAAGGACUGCACCGACCACCGAGCACUCGACGCUCGGGGACUGGUCGCCCAGUCUAUCAGCUCGGAACUUCAAGGACUGCACCGACCACCGAGCACUCGACGCUCGGGGACUGGUCGCUCAGUCUAUCAGCUCAAAGCUUUAAAGUAUGCAUCGACCACUGAGCACUCCACGCUCGGGGACUGGUCGUACAGUAUAGCAACAUAUAAUUCCAAGAAGCACACUAAGUGCUUGGGGACUGGUCGAUUGGUCUUUUCAAUUGCAGGCGAGCAUGACAUGGUCGGGGACUGGUAAAUUCACUUUAGACCUUGCUACAAGGCUCAUAAUUCGCCUUCCAGCAAGCUCGGGGACUACAUCGGUACGAUGCAUCUAGCGAUGCAUCUCAGUCUCAAAACUACUUUGGGGAAUUUUCUUUUGACCCUGGCACCACGUGCCUACGUCACCUACUACCAGGCUCGGGGACUAAGUGGGCACACUUCACCUAGCGGUGAAUUUGUUUGCUUUUUUGAUGCUUUUAACUUUCAAAAAGGUAAAGUGGGCACACUUCACCAGGAAAGAAAUUUUUUUUAAGAGCACCAUGCAUUCUUCGAACAACCUGCUUCUUCGAUGUCAAUGUUGAUCAACUGUCUUUCGAGUUGGUCAAGGAACCGUUGCAACUGCUUGGGCGAUCUCCCCACUUAUUGAAGACGCCAAGCCUCGCUGAUCGAAGAAGCUCAAGACGGCGUGUUGCAUCACAAUACAUGGUGCUCGGGGACUAGCUGUGGGGGUAUAAACCCCUAUACCCUUACGGCUAGACUUCAGCCAGGAAGCUUGGCUCACUACGAGACGAGUUCAAGGCUUGAUCCGACAGCUCGGAGUUUCGCGCAAGGAAACAAGACGUGGAGAUCAAGCAGGAUUCUAGUCGGUUAGAAUAGGAAUUGAUAUCAAAUUAUCUAUGGCAAUUGUAACCGACUAGGAUUAGUUUCCAGAUCUGUAACCCUGCCCUCCAAACUAUAUAAGGAGGGGCAAGGGACCCCUCUAGGACAUCAUAUUCUCUCAGCACAAAUCAAUACAACCAGACGCAGGACGUAGGUAUUACGCCAACUCGGCGGCCGAACCUGGAUAAAAAGCUUGUCCGUGUCUUGCGUCACCAUCGAGUUCGUAGUUCGCGCACCGUCUACCGAUAAACUACUACCGUGGGUAUACCCCAAGGUAGACUGCCGACUAGCUUUCGUCGACAAAAAACAUAUUUAAGUCCAGAAGGUAGUGGUUUAAGCUCAAUGGGGGGGGUUAAGUGGCUCUAGUAAUUCAUCAAGAGGUUCAGGAUCAGUAAGAUCCUCUUCCUCUUCUUCCAUGAAGAACUAGGUAUCAUCUUCUAAAUCAGGUUGACUAAAAUUAUUGGAUUCGAAUGACUUAACCUCUUCUAUUGGAUCUAAUUCAGGAAGGAGGGUUCUGCUUUAACUUUUACUGUAUGAGUUAUAGGCAUUGAAAAACUAAAUCCUUUCCCAAAUUUAAUAUCUAAUUUACCAUUACGAACUUCUUGAAGAAGUUUUAUUAUGGGUAACUCCAUUCAUUACAUUAAAAUCCCACACAUCAAAUAUAUAAAAAUUUAGCAAAAUGUGGAAAUCAUUGAUAACAAUAGGAAGUGCACUCAAAACUCCUAAGCUAGGAAUAAUAUGUCAUGAACAACUUUUUAAUAAUUUAUUUAUAGGAAUUAAUGGUAUGUCUUUCAAGAAUUCUUUAGAAAACUAGCAUAUGCCCAUGCGUUGCUAUGGGAAUUUUAAAAAAUUCAAUAAAAUUCAACAUAAUAAAAGUAAAGAAAUGGUAGAUUAGGAGUCUUAAAUUUUCAAUUUUUAAAGGACUCUCAAAUUUUCAAUUUUCAACACGGUAAAAGUAUCAAAAAAUAAUGGGUCAAAAUAAAGAUAAAUAAACUUUAACUUGGCUUAGCAACAUAAUGUUUCGAGCCACAUUCAAAUACAUAAACAUCAAGUUUAGUAACAAUGUUCCCAAACAACAAUGUGCAAUUGAGAUAAUAAUAGUCAAAACAUCUAAAGUGGCUAGAACUUUCUCUACUUCUAAAAGGGUUCUAAAAAUAUAUCUCUGAUGGCCAAAAGCUAUUCGGUCCACAAGUUUGAUAUUUCAGCUCCCUGUAAUCGGCUUGCGUGCCCCGAGCAGCACCCCUUUACUCUACCUUGCCUUGACAUCCUGCCACCACCAUUUUCUCUUAGAAUUAACAUUUAUAAAUAAACUAUUAAAUAAAUUAAAUAAAUGUAAUAAACAUGGGACACUACCUUAGUCAUGGAGUUAACACCUCUUUAUAGACGAUAUUUUUCGUGUAUGUACCAUUUUUCAUUGCGAUUUUUUUCUUCCCUUUCUUCAUAUCCUUUUCAACUGGUGGAACCGUCAAGAUCCUGAUGUUCGAUCUAGUUGUGGCUCUAGAUAGCGCUACAUACAACUGACCAUGUGAGAACACUGGUUCAGGCAAGUACAGUCCGACAUUUGGGAUAGUUUGUCCUUGUGCUUUGUUGACAGUCAUGGCAAAGCUUAGUCGAAUGGGAAACUACUUUCUCUUGAAAUGGAAAGGGAACAUCUCGUCAUCAGAUGGACAUAAGGGUAUGCGAGGAAAGAAAACACGUUUUCCAGCAUGUUGCCCCAAAACUAUUUUUGCAUCGAUGGUAUUCUUUUGGAACCCAUGUACGAUCAACCUCGUACCAUUGCAAAGUCCGUUUGCGGGGUCGAUGUUUCUAAGCAAUAUAACCGGGCAACCAAUCUUUAGCUUUAACACAUGUGGAGGUAGACCAUUUGGGGUCAAAGUGUUAAGGAACUCCGGAGGGUAGUAGUUGUUUGGAUCAUCAACGGCAAAGUCAAAGCUAUGGUACACCAUCUCGUCCCCUUGAAAAUGACUUAUCAUCCUCAUGUUAAUCAUAUCCACACAGUCAUUCUAUGUAGAUAGUAUUGCUCGCGAAGUGAUGUAAUUUCUCUUUGUCAUGUUCUCAUUGAGCUCUGGGAAAAUACAAUCUAUUAGAGUAUCGAGAUCACCAUCCUCCCCAGUAUGUGGCACACAUAUCCCAUCAGGAAGACGAAUGUCACCAUCACCAUUGGACUCCUCAGAUCCACCACCGACACGUAAAAGGUACUCUGCAAACCACGGGUCACUUUGUGCCCUCAUGUUGCACACCAGUUUGAGGUGUCGCAUGGAUUUCCAAAGGUAUGACAUCCGCAAUGAGGCACCAACAAUUUGGGCCCUUGACCCCCUUCGAACAAUAGGGAGGACUUGCCUAAAAUCUCCACCAAACACCACUGUCUUCCCCCCGAAUGGUAGGUCGGGUUGGUCCAUUAUAUCACGAAGGCUAUUGUUUAGCGCCUCGACAGCUUGCCUCUUUGUCAUGGAAGCCUCAUCCCAAAUAAUAAGAGAUGCAGUCUGAAGAAGCUUGGCAGUGCCACUUUGUUUAGUGAAACUACAAAAAGCUCCAUCAUCGAUGGUAAGAGGAAUCUUGAAGCGCGAGUGUGCGGUUCUGCCGCCGGGCAUUAUGGAUGCUACAACGCCAGAUGUAGCUGUUGCCACAGCAGUCUUGUUUUGACUAUGUAUAGUUGCAAGAAGGGCCUUGUACAAAUAAGUUUUACCCGUGCCACCAGGUCCAUCAACGAAGAACAACCUCCCAUGUUUGGUAUUAAUAGCAGACAUAAUCUCAUCAUAGACAGCCUGUUGCUCCUCAUUAAGUGUGUCUGAAAGAGCGAUGUCAUCAAUGCUGGCCUCAAUGCUUGCCUCCUCAAAAAUCUCCCUGGGGAUAUCAUUGUAGGUGUCAUAUGUGUCAUCAAUAUCAGGAAGUGAGAACGUCUUUAUGUCCUUAUGCAUUGAUUGUAAUAUUUUCCUAAUAUCUAUAAGCAUCAUCUGCUCCACUGCAAAGUUGGAUUGAUUAUUGCAUCGAUAGUCCUCUGACAUUGCCUCCUUGUAUUUAUCCCAAAGUCCGAACACAUUGCUCGGCUGACAGAAUACCAAUAUUGUAGCAAACAGUCGUCGUAGUGCAUAUGGCAUCAUCCACUGAGUAGCUUCAGCAAGGCUCUCAUCUAGUGUGUUGUCUGCUUCAAUCAGGGCCCUUCUUUCUGCUGCUUCACGAAAGGUUGGAAGGGUCACUCCAUCAACGGUCCUUAGAUCAUCAAAGGAUGUAGCACCAGCCACAUGGUUUAGAAGAACCCUAAGAUAAUAGCGUUCCCCCUCGGCCGAAUUAGCAGAGACGAUUCUUCCAACUUGUCCUUCCAUUUUUGUUGCCCUCUCAUUCCAUUCUCUACCCAUUGCAACCCAUGUAUAAAACUCAGGUAAGUGUCGGUACAAGAUACCUCGAGCUUUCUCAUCUAUCAUAUUCUUCUCAAAAUACGCCGUAAGCAUUGUCCUUUCAACACCUGGACGAUUGAGCACUCGUCUAACACCCUCACGCUGGUGAAAUGAUACCGUGUGCAUGUCUGGAAGAUUGUUGACGGUCCUUAAUGCUCACAUUUAACCAUUAAUUAAUCAUGGAAAAGGAUCCAAAUGUAAUCAACAUCCAAAAUUAGUGUUUUAUCUGACAGAAUUUCACGAGUUUUGGUGUUUGUCUAUUUCUGUAGGGGGUUAUCAGGAAAUACGGAAGAAAGGCCCACACGUCGGGUUUACAUAGAGAUAUUAAUGUGCCGCGUAAUUUUCUACCAUCUAGAAGACCCCAGAAGCCACGGGAACAAACGGGAAGGCGAUCGGGCUCGGAGGCAGGGCGCCCGCCCUACUCUCCUGGGCGCCCGCCCUGCUACAGUGCCCAAUCUAGGUCAACUUCGUGGAUCGUGCUCCACCAACUCUAAGGAUCAAGGAAAAUCACACGAUUAAGGUCGGUUUGAUCGGAUGGUGGAGAAUAACGUGGAAAUUCCUUGGGAGCUACUCUUCCUAGAUUUCUUGGGAGCUACUCUUCCUAGAUUUCUUGGGGGCUACUCAUCCUGGACUAUAUAAGCAGACCCCCACCAGCCCCUAGAGGCAUACCUCUUCUACAGAAUCAAAGCUAGGGUUUCCAUUCUUCAUCCAAGUAAAGAGGAUCCCUCUAUUUCUUCUAGUUCUACCUCUAGUUCAUCUAGAUCUAGUUCUAGUUCAUCUAGUUCUAGUUCUAGUUCCUCUAGUUCUAGUUCUAGUUAGUUCUAGUUGUAAUCUAGAAAAUAGGGAGAGAGAAGAGGAGAGUGGAGGAGGAGGAGCCGGAUUUGUCGGAUCUUCCUCAACAUUGUACUUUUGCAGCAACUGGUUCGUUCUUCAUCGUUCUCUAGGUUCUUCAAUUCAUAAUUCCUGAGUUCUUUAAUUACUUUUAUUUACAUUCAAGUUAUUUAUUGGAUUCCCGCUUGCAUCAAGUGCUCUAAUCUUUGCAACAUUAGAGUAGUAAUUAAUAGAUUAGAUGUGGUGUUUAGUAUUGCAAUUACCUGGAAUUGCACCCAAUCCUGCGGAUUGUUGUGGUAGCCUUAGGGUAGUGACAGCUCUAACGGUCGACGUAUUCCACCUCGUUCGGAUUGGUGUUUGUAGGACCGUAGUCAGACCUUCCUAGCCCCCUUCUCAUCUCUUUCUGUGGUUAGUGCUCUGAUGUCCCGAUAUAUAUAAUUUUGAAGUAAUCCUUGAUUCUUAGAUCAACUAGAGAACUCUUAGGAAACUUCCUCUCUUCCCACCAAAAAUAAUUAUAUAGUUAUCACUCCUAUCUAUAAAUUCUUUGCUCAAAAGGGCGAGUUAUUAGAGCCACCACCAUCAUCACAUCCAAUUCUUACAGAUGGCUACGACCUCGGCCCUGAUCUAAUAGCCAUGAUUCAGGAGCAACCCUUCUCUGGGCAAGUAGAUGAAGAUCCGUACACCCACCUUAGAGAAUUCGAGCAGUUGUGCUCUUGCCGAUCUAUUUCUGGCAUGACGCAAGAAACCCUUAAAUGGAAAUUAUUUCCGUUCUCCCUUUUGGGAAGAGCAAAAAAGUGGUAUGCUCAUUCUGUAGGAGGCGUUAAUGGAAGUUGGGAUGAACUUCGGAACAACUUUUGUCUCGCUUUCUUCCCACUUUUUUGAAUCGCUGACCUUAGAAUCGAAAUUCUUACAUUCAAACAAAGAGAGAAGGAAACUUUAGGAGCAGCUUGGGCUAGGUUCACAAGCCUUACCAAUUCCGGUCCUAACCUUUCCCUGCCUAACCAUGUACUGUACUACCACUUUUAUCGUGGUCUAAACAAGGAAGCUGCUCUUCACCUCGAUAUUGCUUCAGGAGGCUCAUUCACACACAAACUCACAGAUGAGGGGAGAGCUAUCCUAGAAAGAAUCCUUGAAAAUACCCCUUACACAGGCAUUUAUGAUGAGUUUCCUGAAGAAGAAAAAGAAGUCGAGCCUGAUCCUAAACCAAAAGAUGAGGAACUUGCAACCGAGUUAGAAAUUCCACCUGACCCACCUAUUAAUUUGGUUGUAGAGAAACCUCCUGAUAAAGGAAUGCAAAACCAACUAAGGGAUGAUGAACCACCACCUUUAGAGCAUCCCUUUGAAUUUGAGGAAGAUCUUUUUGAAGAUUAUGGAAACACCUCGAAUUUCCCUAUCCAAACACGACCUCUAGCAAGGACCACUCAAUCCAUUCUAAGAGUAGAAUCUGUUGACAUAGAACACAUCAAAAGCCUUUCGGCUAUUCUGAGUUAUGAAUGGCUAACAGAAGCUGAGCUGCCUCCUGAGGUAGCUCGGAUCAUCACUCCUUCAACCAUUCUUCUAUGCCAAAUUAGACGGUCCACUAGGAAGGUCCACUACAAUCCAUAUGUUGGGAUAAAUGUUAUUUCCAAGGAGUUAGCUGACACUCUCUAUCCUAACGAGUCCAUAACCCCAUCCCAAAAACUUUUACAAAGUCAAUCUGGAUUAAUUCUAGAAAGCCAUGGGGUAUUAAGGGCAGUUCCUGUUAGAAUCAAGGACUCUGGAAUAUGUCUAGAUUUUCAUAUUGACGACAUACUGGAGAUUCUUCUCUUGAUUGGUAGACCAAUCAUGAAACUUCUACACGAACAACCACAACGAGGUCAUUUAGACUUCAAAGUUGGGAAUUCCACUAUUGUUGUUCCUCUAGCUAGAUCAAUUUACACGAUAGUGGAACCCAAACUUGACCCAGAUCCUAUUGAGGGGAUCUUAAUGGUGACUCAAGAGGAGAUGACCCAACCAUUCUUUAAUCAUGAACACUUUGUUCAAGAAGAAGAAGAGUUGGUAGAACCCGUUGAGCUAGACAAAAAUGAACUACCUUCACCUCCUUCGAUAGAAUUAAAACCACUUCCUUCUGGCCUUAGAUAUGUCUUCCUGCACAAUAACCCAGAAACUCCGGUAAUUAUCAGUGACAAGCUUUCCGAUUAUGAAACACAACAACUUGUCACUGUUCUUGAAAGACAUAGAUCAGCAUUUGGCUACUCUCUUGAGGAUCUCACAGGCAUUAGUCCCAUUCUCUGCACUCAUCGUAACCCUAUUGAUCCCAAUUCUACACCUUCAAGGGAACCACAACGGAGACUUAACAAUGCUAUGUGAGAGGUUGUUAAGAAAGAGGUCCUCAAACUCUAUCGUGCUAGGAUUAUUUAUCCUGUGCCACAUAGUGAGUGGGUUAGCCCUGUCCAAGUAGUGCCAAAGAAAGGAGGAAUGAUGGUCGUUAGGAAUGAGAAGAUUGAACUCAUCCCUCAACGAAUUGUCACUGGGUGGCGUAUGUGUAUUGACUAUCGAAAACUCAACAAGGCUACAAAGAAAGAUCACUUUCUGUUACCCUUCAUUGAUGAAAUGUUGGAACGGCUUGCAAACCACUCUUUCUUUUGUUUCCUUGAUGGUUAUUCUGGAUAUCACCAUAUCCCAAUCCACCCAGAUGACCAAGAAAAGACUACCUUUACAUGCCCAUAUGGAACUUAUGCAUACCGACGAAUGUCGUUCGGUUUGUGCAAUGCUCCAGCUUUUUUCCAACGGUGCAUGAUGUCUAUUUUCUCGGACAUGAUUGAGAAGAUCAUGGAGGUUUUCAUGGAUGAUUUUACCGUCUAUGGCAAAACCUUCGAUCAUUGUUUGGAGAAUUUAGAUAGAGUCUUGCAGCGAUGUGAAGAACAGCACUUAAUCCUAAACUGGGAGAAAUGUCAUUUUAUGGUUCAGGAAGGAAUAGUGCUAGGACAUAAAGUGUCCGAACGUGGUAUAGAGGUGGACAAAGCAAAGAUUGAAGUUAUUGAAAAACUUCCACCUCCCACGAAUGUGAAAGGAAUCUGUAGCUUUUUGGGACAUGCAGGGUUCUAUAGACGCUUUAUCAAGAAUUUCUCUCAAAUUGCUAGACCCCUAACUAGUCUCCUAGCUAAGGCUGCACCUUUCAUCUUUAGUGAUGGGUGUCAUGAAUCUUUUCAAACUCUUAAGAAAGCACUCAUCUCAGCCCCGAUUAUCCAACCACCUGAUUGGAAUCUUCCUUUUGAGAUCAUGUGUGAUGCUAGUGAUUUUGCGGUUGGUGCCGUUUUAGGACAAACCAAGGAUAAAAAGCAUUAUGCCAUAUCCUACGCUAGUAAAACCUUGUCUGGACCACAGCUCAAUUACACUACAACUGAAAAAGAGCUUUUGGCUGUUGUCUUUGCUAUAGACAAGUUUAGAUCUUACUUAGUGGGGGCAAAGAUAAUCAUCUAUUCAGACCAUGCUGCUCUCAAGUACCUCCUCACUAAGAAAGAUGCUAAGCCUCGUCUAAUUCGAUGGAUUCUUCUACUCCAAGACUUUGACAUAGAAAUCCGAGAUAGGAAGGGAGUAGAGAAUUCCGUAGCCAACCACUUGUCCAGGCUUCAAUAUAAGGAAACACAUGAUGAACUUCCCAUAAAUGACUACCUAAGGGAUGACACCCUACUUAAGAUAACACAUGCAGAUCCAUGGUACGCAGACAUCGUAAACUUUAUAGUAAAAGGCUAUGUCCCACAUGGUGCAAACAAAAGGAAGUCGCUUCACGAUAGUCGUUUCCACCUUUGGGAUGAGCCAUAUCUUUUUCGAGUCUGCGCUGAUGGACUCUUGAGAAGGUGUGUUCCUAUGGCUGAGGCUACUCAAAUUAUGAAAAGAUGCCAUGCCUCACCAUAUGGGGGACACUACGGAGCAUUCCGAACACAUGCUAAAAUCUGGCAAAGUGGCUUUUUCUGGCCAACAAUGUAUCAAGAUACAAAGGACUUUGUCAGGAGAUGCCACCGAUGUCAAAAACAUGGGAAUAUCAACUCACAAAAUGAAAUGCCUCUCACAAAUAAUCUUCAAGUAGAACUUUUCGAUGUACGGGCAUUGAUUUCAUGGGGCCAUUCCCUAUGUCCAGGAAUUGCGAGUAUAUCUUAGUAGCUGUGGACUACGUGUCCAAAUGGGUAGAAGCCCUACCUUGUAGAUCAGCUGAUUCAAAACAUGCCAAGAGAAUGUUCCAUGAAGUAAUCUUUCCUCGCUUUGGUAUACCCCGGAUAGUUAUAAGCGAUGGAGGUUCCCAAUUCAUCGACAAAAUCUUCCGGAAGUACCUAGCCGAUCAUGGAGUUCGACACAACAUCGCAACACCAUACCAUCCUCAGACUAGCGGUCAAGCCGAAACAUCUAACAAACAAAUCAAAAAUAUUUUACAAAAGACCGACCGUAGAUGAGAUGGGUAAGGGGUGGAAGGACAAACUUCCUGAUGCACUUUGGGCAUAUAGAACUGCAUUCAAAACACCCAUAGGCAUAUCGCCUUAUCAACUUGUAUAUGGAAAAACUUGUCAUCUGCCUGUGGAAGUAGAGUUUAAGGCUCAUUGGGCACUCAAGAAAUGGAACAUGGAUCUCCACCUCGCUAGCGAGAAUCGUCUGAUGCAACUAUCUGAGCUAGAAGAAUGGAGAGAGAAAGCCUACCACAAUUCAAGGAUCUAUAAAGAGAGAACAAAAUGAUCGCAUGAUAAGAGAAUCAAGCACAAAGAGUUUAAGCCUGGAGAUAAGGUUCUACUAUUCAAUUCAAGAGUUAAACUCUUUGGGCAUGGUAAGCUAAGAAGUAAAUGGGAUGGACCAUACAAGGUUAUUGACACUUCAACACAUGGAGCCAUUACCAUCCAAGACGACAUAGGUAACACUUUUAAGGUAAAUGGUCAACGCUUGAAAAUCUAUCUCAAGCCACAAAACAGCCCGGUAGAGGAACUUGAUGUGAUUGAGUUCAUAGAAUUCUCAUAUUAAGCUCUUGUAAGCUCUAGACAAUUACCUAACCCUUAAUAUGCUCCACAAGUUUUGUUGUCUAUUUGGGUUGUGCAGGAUUUUGAGGCUUAAGAAGAGUAAGACCAAACAUGCAAGCCACAAGAGUGAACGACUAUGUCACCAUCCAGCUUGGGGGAGGCACCCCCACGUGUAUCUAGAUAAGUAUUAAUUUUCUUUCUUGGUUUUAUUUACUAGUAUUCAGAAAUAAAUAAAUAAAUAAAUAAAUGCAUAACCAUGAAACCAAACAAAGAAUUUCUUUUGAGUAAUAAACAAUAGUUUUGUGUAAUCCUAAGUUUUAAAUAAAAUAAAAAGAAAGUUUGAUCCAAGUCUAGGUAAUUGACAAACAUGAUAUGAUAAGGUCUGAGCUGCUAUUUAACUUGUUCCAAGUUUUGCUAGAGUUCUGGAGAUUUUAUCUUUUUAAAAUCUAAAAAUUCAAAGAAAAAAUGAUGAGAUCCUGUUUGACAUAAUACCUAGAGUCUUAUAAGAUAUAAAUAUUAAAACUGUGGGCACUUGCUUUGUUCAAGCCAUUGUUAAUUCUUGUAGUUUUGGUUGAGAGAAUUAUCGUGCUCCAAAGAUCAAGAUCUUUUUGUUUUAAAAAUAUAAAAGAUUCACUCUUCCAAAGUAUUAUUGCGUUAGAGGCAUGGGACUAUGCAAAAAUUUGAUUCGAAAAAAAAAGAGUGAGACGAGAGGUAAAAAUGGAGAAGUGUCCAAAGUAGAAUUAGGGGUACAAAGAUACCCACCUGAGUAGAAAAAAAUGGACACGUGUCCGAUAGUAGAAUUAGGGGUACUUGGUGUCCAUUUCAAAAAAAAAAGAAGAGAAAAAGAGAAAAAAAAUGAUAGCCCAUGGUCCCUCUAAUAAGCAAUAUGCCAGUAAGAGAUGACAAACUAUUCAAAAAGGUCAAAGGACUUGAUCUAGGAGUAUGACAUUUGUCUCCCUUACUCUGAGCAUUGACAUAGCAAAAUGCAAAGUAAGUAUGCUAAAACUUUUAAAGCUCUACUUAUAAAUCUUUCGAGCAGAAGACAAAUGCCUCAAUUUUAUUUUGCAGACUUAUAAAAACUCCAGAACAAAGGUAAGACAAAAGAACUUGAGACAUAGUGCUUGACUUGAUCGUUCUGUUUUUCAAUCACUUAAGACCUUAGUGAAAACUUAAAAACACUGUAGUAAGAGGCAUACAAGUAACCCCUGUUUUCCUGCUGAUUUUAGCUUUGCUCAGGGACAAGCAAAGGUUAAGCUUGGGGGAGCUUGUUGACGGUCCUUAAUGCUCACAUUUAACCAUUAAUUAAUCAUGGAAAAGGAUCCAAAUGUAAUCAACAUCCAAAAUUAGGGUUUUAUCUGACAGAAUUCCACGAGUUUUGGUGUUUGUCUAUUUAUGCAGGGGGUUAUCAGGAAAUACGGAAGAAAGGACCACAUGUCGGGUUUACAUAGAGAUAUUAACGUGCCGCGUAAUUUUCUACCAUCUAGAAGACUCCAGAAGCCACGGGAACGAACGGGAAGGCGAUCGGGCUCGGAGGCAGGGCGCCCGCCCUGCUACAGUGCCCAGUCAGGGUCAACUUCGCGGAACGUGCUCCACCGACUCUAAGGAUCAAGGAAAAUCACACGAUUAAGGUCGGUUUGAUCGGAUGGUGGAGAAUAACGUGGAAAUUCCUUGGGAGCUACUCUUUCUAGAUUUCUUGGGAGCUACUCUUCCUAGAUUUCUUGGGGGCUACUCUUCCUGGACUAUAUAAGCAGACCCCCACCAGCCCCUAGAGGCAUACCUCUUCUACAGAAUCAAAGCUAGGGUUUCAAUUCUUCAUCCAAGUAGAGAGGAUCCCUCUAGUUCUUCUAGUUCUACCUCUAGUUCAUCUAGAUCUAGUUCUAGUUCAUCUAGUUCUAGUUCUAGUUCCUCUAGUUCUAGUUCUAGUUAGUUCUAUUUGUAAUCUAGAAAAUAGGGAGAGAGAAGAGGAGAGCAGAGGAGGAGGAGCCGGAUCUGUCGGACCUUCCUCAACAUUGUACUUUUGCAGCAACUGGUUCGUUAUUCAUCGUUCUCCACGUUCUUCAAUUCAUAAUUCCUGAGUUCUUUAAUUACUUUUAUUUACAUUCAACUUAUUUAUUGGAUUCCCGCUUGCAUCAAGUGCUCUAAUCUUUGCAACAUUAGGGUAGUAAUUAAUAGAUUAGACAUGGUGUUUAGUCUUGCAAUUACCUAGAAUUACACCCAAUCCUGCGGAUUGUUGUGGUAGCCUUAGGGUAGUGACAGCCCUAACGGUCGAUGUAUUCCACCUCGUUCGGAUCGGUGUUUGUAGGACCGUAGUCAGACCUUCCUAGCCCCCUUCUCAUCUCUUUCUGUGGAUAGUGCUCUGAUGUCCCGAUAUAAAUAAUCUUUGAAGUAAUUCUUGAUUCUUAAAUCAACUAGAGAACUCUCAGGAAACUACCUCUCUUCCCAGCAAAAACAAUUAUAUAGUUAUCCUUGGGCGAUCCUGAUUCUUAAUUAGUACACUCACAUUCUCUGUGGAAAAUCGAUACUCUAGAAUACUCCCGGGUGAAAGCUACAUUGGUAUCCGUGCGCUUGUCGAUUUUUCUGUUUGCGUUUAAAAUACCCAACAAAGAUGGAGUUGCAAAGACAACACAGAAGGGGACCUAUCACUCAAAUCAAACCCUUAUAUCCUCCGCAAGGCUUCUGGAGUGGUCACCCACCUAACAUCUCUAUAUUGUUUGAUCUCAUCAAUGUUUCCUUCAUUGUCACCCUUGUCUGCCUCUCUCAAAGCCACAGAUGCUCGAUCAUGACCCAUGUAAAUGUACUUAAAUAGGUACUUAACAGCCUUGAUGCUCCCACAUGCCUCAACAUUGAUGUGGCAGUUGAACAAUCGCAAUAGGUAAGGGUUGUAAGGCACAACCCAUCUAUUAUCUAGCUCAUGAUUGCAAAUUUUUUCUUUCCACCCAUCUUCACGUCGCCUAUAAACUGGGUAGGAAUCCUUACCUUGUAUGGUGACCUCACUGAAGGGUCGUGGGUAUCGAUUCUUACAUGAAUCACGGCCCUUUGUGCAUGGGCAAUUACGAUUAAGCAUUCCGCAAGGCCCAUGCAUCAUAUGCUUGGUGACCAUCUUGUACAAUUCUGGGUACUUCUUCUUGUUUGGAAGCUCAGUUGAGAUAAGGAGGUCAUACUGCUCUGGAUACGUGAUCUUGUACUUCCCUUGCAUGAUCAGCAAAAAAUGUGCAUGCGGUAGACCCCUCUUCUGGAACUCCACAACAUAUACAUGGGCCCGAACCUUCCCAAGAAUAUCCUUUUUCAACAACCUCCUCUUCAACUCUUCAAGCUUCGCCUAAAAGACCCGCACAAAAAAAAUCUAACCGAUCCUGUGGUGUCUGGCCAGGGUAGAGAUUACUCUUGAUCUCAUCCCAGUUUGGAUUACAAGACAUAGUUAGGAAGAUGUUCGGUUUCCCAAACUUGUGCACCAGAGCCAUAUGUUGGGUAUUCUUAACAUCAUUACUAAAAGUAGACAGUUUUCUAAUUCUAGUAACGGUGCCAAAAAUGCCAACCCUAUCCCUCAUACCACUUAAGUCAAGUUGUCAUCCCCAGCAUGACAUGAGAGAUGCGAUAUUGAAAUAUGCAAUUGCUCUUCUAAAUAAAUAAUGAAUGGGAUCUGCAAGCGCACAGAUUAAUACCGAUGUAGCAUUUUAACCGGGAAGUAUUCCAGGUAUCGUUAUUUAUAUUUUUACGACUAGGAAGGGAUUACCAAUCAUCAAUAUUGAUUACAGAAUAGAAUAUGAGAUUGAGCAUCUAUCAUUGCAUGUAUAAUUGAGAACAUUCAUCUAACUCUUCAUACAGGGAUAAAUGUCACAUAAAAGAUAUAUGAAAUAAUGAAUAGUGACAAAGAUAAUUAAUCUGAUCAGCAUAACUAGCCACAUAUAAAUAUGAUAAGCACCUCAAUUAGAUACUCUAGAAAGUCAUUAGCAUGGAAUUAGAAUGAACUACAAGAAUAUUUCCUAAGUUAUUCUCAACUAUAUAGUCUAGCAUUAUCAUAAUUAGUGCAAGAAUACUUAGCAAUCAUUGUGAGACAAGACUACGCCCAUGCAUAGUGAUAUUAGCAAGGAAUAUGAGAAACAUAGCAAUCACUCCCCUGUAAUAAUAUUGCUCUGCCAGCCCAAUACACGAGAGGGGGACUAUAUAAGAAUCAAUGAAGCUGUCACUAUCACGAACUACCCCACGAUCUGGCAUAUUCGGUACAAUCGCAGAUAAAUACGAUAUAAGCAUCACGCCUACACAAUAUCUAUCAUUUACCCAUGGAUCCGAUGGACAAAUGCUAUACGAUCCUAAGCAUGUAUAUAGAUCCAAUCUAACUAAGCCAAGUACAUAACUAUGAUAAACUAAGAACAAUAUAAUCUUGAAUAUAAACAAGUAGAGCAAAGUCAUAAGCAAUAUAUUGAAGUAGAACAAAGUCAUAUUCAUAAUAUUAAAGAACAAAGAUAAUUAGAAGAACAAUUAGAAGCACAAUUAGAGAAUUACCAAGAAUUCUCCUAACAGAUCCGGAAACAAAUCAAAGAUUGACUUCUUCUAGUUCUAAUCCUAUGUAGCUAUGCUAAUCUAGAUGUCUAAUUGAUGUGGUGGCUCUAAUCUUGAUCAGAGGCUUCUUUUCCCUUGUGAACAAUGAAUUAGGGUUGAGAGGCUCUCUCCUCCAGGGGCCAGGGGGUCUGGUUUUAUAGUCCCUUCAAGUGAAUAUGGGCCGUUGGAUCAAACCAACAUAGAUUGAACGGUUAUCCUUGAUCCUUUAGGUCGGUGGAGAUCUCCUGCGAAACAGAGUCCUGAUUGGACUCAAAGAGGGGGCGGGCGCCCAAGGUAACUGGCCAGGCACCCAGUCCCUGGCCCCGUUCGGCCUCCGCUUCUUUCCCGUGGCUUCUGGUGUCUUCUAGAUGUAAGAUAAUUGCGCGGCACGUUAAUAUCUCUAUGUAAUCCCGAUGUGUGGGCCUUUCUUCCGUAUUUCCUAAUAACCCCCUGCAGAAAUAGACAAACACCAAAACUCGUGGAAUUCUAUCAGAUAAAACCCUAAGUCUAGAUGUUGAUUUUAUUUGGAUCCUUUUCUUUGUUUAUUUGAUAAUUAAAUUUGAUACUUAAGUACCGUCAACAAACUCCCCCAAGCUUACCUCUUGCUCGUCCCUGAGCAAGGAUAGACUCAGCGAUGGAUUAGAAGUUGUUGCAAAAUCUUUAAAAAUUGACGGUACAUAUGCUUUUAAAUAAGAUCUUAUGUCUGAGUUAGAGUAAACUGUCAAGACUUAAAACUUACUUACUUUACCUUUCACCAUGGGACUUGUAACCGUCACUUCUGUCUUGAGUGGUUAAAAGAUAGAACAGUCUAGUCAAGUGCCAUGUCUCUUAUUCUUGAUCAGCUAUAGCUCUAGAGUUUUUGUAGAUUUUCAAAUAAAACUCAGAGAUUCCUUGUAUGACUCUCUCAAUAUCUCUCUUUUGUGGUAUUUCUGGAUCCUUACCAAGGCAGUGAUGGUAUAUGCCUUCUCUCAAUAUAUGUGGUAUUUGUGGUAUAAGGCAUAGUGACAUUGCCUUCUCUCUCACCCUACUCUAAUAAGUCAAAUCAAUAAGUCAAAUCAAGAUGUGCAUGUGUGGCGAAUGAAUGGUAUAUGGCGAUGAUGGUGAUAACAAUGGUGAAAGUCUAAUUCUACUUUUGCUCUUUGAGGGGAUACAUACCUUCAUUGCUUUCUGAAACUUUAUGAGGAGAAUGAGAUGCUCUGUCUCUUUUUCUUUUCUCUCAGGUGUGUAUCUUGUACCCCUAAUUCUACUGUCGGACACUUGUCCAUUUUUACCUCUCGUCUUACUUUUUCUUUUAUUUCGAGGUUCCGGGCACUUGCCCCUUUUUAUUUCCUCGUAUCUUUUUUUAGAGCACUCAUCUCUUGAGAUAAUAUAGCAAGUGGAAGUAACAAGAUAACUUGUUCAUUUAUUUCACAAAGGAAAAACAGAAAUAUUUUUAGCUAUUCUCUCCCAUAUUAGGAGUAGAAUAUUUUUUUGGAUGGUUCUGGAGAUGGAAAUGGGUGGAUAUAUGUGGAUGGUACUUCUUGAGUAGAAGUAGCAUAUGUGAGUGAACGUGCAAGUGAAAUCUUGAUUUAACCACAUGACAAGCUCCUAAGGGUCUACACAGCUUGACCACACUCAACGCUCAUAAGUAGUAAAAAGUAAAUGUAUGACUCAAAGUCUAGCAAGCAUGUAUAUAUGGCUGUGGUAGUAAUUUAAACUCUCAUCAUACAGGAACUCAGCAUGCAAUAUUUUAAAGAUUUUAAAAGAUAAAAUUCUCCAGAAUUCUAGCAUUUCCAGGAAUAGAUAAACAGCAGCUCAACCUUCCCAUAUAGUAUUCGUUAACAACUUAGACUUCAGAUCAAGUUUUCAUCCCACAAGUUUAGGUCUAGAGCAAGCUUUAAAUUAUAACAGUUAUAUCUGAACUUGAGAGAGAACUUAAAAUGUGCAAAUUAGGCAGAGCAACUAUUUAUCAUAUCCAUGCUAGAGUUUUAUUUAGAUACAGAUUAGCAUAGCCACUUUAUUUAUUUAUUAAACACUCUAAGCAAAAGACAUAUAUAUAAGCAUAAAAUCUUUAUUUGGUUUUUUAUUGUUAUAUUUUAUUAUAAUUUAAGUAUAAAGAUAGAUAGAUAGAAAUACUUAUCGCGAUAAAUAGGGGUGCUCUCCCCCAAGCUGAAUUUUAACAUAAUUUCUCUUGAUGUAGCUAGCAGGUGGCAGAGGUGUAUUUGAAAGUCAGCAGCAUUCUGACAGCUAUUAGAAUGUCCUCCGUCUGCUAGUCUUCUUGAUUCUUAAAUUCUGUGGAGCUCAAAUAGACAACAUAGCUUGUGGAACUAAUUAAGUGUUAGCAUAAAUAUCUAGCCUUUAUCAUGUUGAGACUCCUUAAUAAUUAUUACUCUCUAUUUUUAUAUUUUCAUUUUUAUAAAGCAGAAAAAUAUUUAUUUUAUUUUUAUGCCACCACAGUGAAUGUACUUAUGGGUUUUAUGCCACAUGUAUGCUCACAUGGGGCUUACAUUUUUUUCAUUUUUAUUUUCUUUUUAGGAUAGUAUGAACAUGAUUAACUAAGCAAACUAUUUGAAAUAACUGAAAGGGAAAGGAUAACUACAAAGUUUACCUCUUGGCAUGGCGUUCGGUGUUUUUAAGUCCUCCGAACGGGACUCUCCUCUUUCUCAAUUGUCGUGGGAUUCGUUGGGUGGCGUAGUCGGUACUUCCGGCGGCGCCUCCUCUUCAUGUAUAGUUAUGUUCUCUUUCCAUACCUGACUCGGUGCUUCGGUCUCCUCUGGAUAAUUGUUCAAACUCUACGUCUUCUGACCUUACAACUUCUCCUUCAUAGUCUGCCCAUCCGUUCUUGAUGAUUUACCUCCUCUGGUUGCGGUUGAGGCGUUUUCUUACCUUCUUAGAUUCUUCAAAGAUGUAGUUAGGGUCAGUAAAAUAACGGCGUACCUUCUCUGAGGGGAAGUGCAUAUGGACUUCUCCAGUUCCAAUGUAGAUAAUUGCUUUAACGGUGCUGAGGAACGGUGUUCCAAGGAUGAUGGGUGGAUCAUACUCAUCUUCUCCCAUGUCAACAACCUGAAAGUCUGUGUAGACAAAAUGAUCGUCUAUUUUGACUGGGACAUCAGUUACUGUUCCUUUAACUUCUCGAAACGUCUGAUCUGCCAUCUGGAGCUGAAUGUAUGUUGGUUAUAGGGGCAUUGUUCCGAACAAGAGCCGAUAGGUGACUACGGCCAUUAUGUUGACGCCCGAUCCGGUGUCGCAAGUCGUCUUGUAGAAGUUGUAUCCAUUUAUGGAGCAAUAGAUGCUUGGCAUUCCUGGGUCGUCCUUCUUGGUCAAAAAUGGUGACUUAAGUUGAUGAUCUUGACCUCCAUAAACUGCAGUGACCAUCUUAGCUGACUCGGUCCACACUUGCUUGUUCCUGUUCCUCCUGUUGGUCCUCUUCCUUGAUUCACGUCUGGAUUGAUCUGGGAUUUGUGUAGUCUUGUUCCUGAAGAAAAAUGUCUCCUUCCUCCCUUUGAUGUAGAAACUGAUCUUGGCAGCACUAGCGUAGAUGACAGCUCCUGAGGUGUUUAAGAAUGGCCUCCCUAAGAUGAUGGGUGCUCUCUCAUCAUUACCGGUCUCUACCACUACGAAGUCUGCUGGGGCGUACAAGGUACCAACUCGGACACAAAGGUUCUUCAAUAUUCCUUUUGGAAAACUUAUCGUCUGAUCUGCAAACUGCAAACACAUGGUUGUUUCUAGUAAAGGAUAUGUAAAUAAUUUUUCAUAGAGUACCCUAGGUAUAAUGUUGACGCUAGAGCCAAAGUCGCAGAGUGCUUCUGGGACGUCCGCCAUGCCGAUGGAGAUCGGGAUGACGGGGCGUCCUGGAUCGCCUCUCUUGACCGGCAGAAAGUCAGUAGUGAAUUCAGUGACGGGGUUACUCCAAUUACCUGCAUCAAACAUGUCUACAAGAUUUGCAGAUUCUAAUCCUGAGUAGUUAGGCCUCUGUUGAUUCCAACCUUGAUUUUGUUGAGGACGGUUGUAGUGGUUGUUGUUGUUGUUGUUGAUGUAGUUCACAUCCUCAAGCAUCUCAGGGCAGUGAUUGCCUGAGUGUCCAGUGUCUCCACACUCCUCACAAGUCAUGUUAGAGUCAUAGAUGUGCAUAACUUCUUUCUUAUCUCCAGCUCUAUCAUCGAGCUUCUUCAUGAGCAGGUCUAGCUUUGCAGACAGCAUGUCUACCUCCUUGAGCUGAUGCAUACCUCCACCUUUCUUGUGUGUCUGGGUCCUUUCCUCAUUCCAGCCAUGGUUGGACGCCAUCUUCUCCACAAGAGCUGUGGCUUGUGAUGUGGUAAGUGAUAAGAAUGCUCCUCCAGCUGCAGCAUCCAUGGUCUCUCGAGCACUGUUGCCGAGCCGAUGAUAAAACGUCUGCAUCAAUAGCCAACUCUCCAUUCCAUGAUGGGGACAUUUUAGGAUGUAGUCUUGAAAGCGCUCCCAUGCUUCUGGAACAGAUUCAUCAUUUUGUUGCUGAAAACUUGUAAUCUUCCCACGGAGAGCAUUGGUCUUGCCCAUGGGAAAGAACUUAGCCAGAAAGUUUGUUGAGCAGAGUGCCCACGUAGUAUUCUUCUCCUUUGUAGCGUAGAACCACUGCUUCGCUCUUCCUAACAGUGAUAAUGGGAAUAGGUGAAGUGCUAUAGCAUCUCUGGGGACUCUUGAUAUGGUAAAUGUGUUGCAAAUCUCCAGGAAGUGUUGGAGAUGAGCACUAGCAUCUUCAUGUGCCUUUCCCACAGAACUGGUUGGAUUGCACCAUGUUGAUAAGUCCAGGCUUGAGCUCAAAGUUGCCAUCGAUCUCUACAGCAGGUCCAGUGUGGAUGUUGUCCGUAGUGGGAGCUGAGAACUCACGGAUCGAUUUGUUCGCCAUGGCUUCGAACUCUGAAGACAAGUUCUGGUGAUCUUCUUGAUUGGAUGAAGCUUCUUGCUGAAGUGUUGAUGAUCUCUUCUUGAGCUUGGCUCUAGUUUUUCUAAAUAACGCUUCGGGAUUGUCAACAAAAUUUCCUGGAAGAUGUCUUCUAUUCAUACAUUCCCCUGCAUAAGAUAAAAUAGAAAAAUAUCAGGGUAAAACUGUAUGAGAGAAUAGAUAAGCUCAAUAAUAUUAGUGAUGCGAAUGAUAACUCAAAAUCCUUUAUUCAUUCCUGAUUAGUAAUCAACCUUCCUCGGCAACGGCGCCAAAAAUGCUUGUUGGGUAUUCUUAACAUCAUUACCAAAAGUAGACAGUUUUCUAAUUCUAGUAACGGUGCCAAAAAUGCCAAACCUAUCCCUCAUACCACUUAUGCCAAGUUGUCAUCCCCAGCAUGACAUGAGAGACGCGGUAUUGAAAUAUGCAAUUGCUCUUCUAAAUAAAUAAUGAAUGGGAUCUGCAAGCGCACAGAUUAAUACCGUUGUAGCAUUUUAACCGGGAAGUAUUCCAGGUAUCGUUAUUUAUAUUUUUACCACUGGGAAGGGAUUAGCAAUCAUCAAUAUUGAUUACAGAAUAGAAUAUGAGAUUGAGCAUCUAUCAUUGCAUGUAUAAUUGAGAACAUUCAUCUAACUCUUCAUACAGGGAUAAAUGUCACAUAAAAGAUAUAUUAAAUAAUGAAUAGUGACAAAGAUAAUUAAUCUGAUCAGCAUAACUAGCCACAUAUAAAUAUGAUAAGCACCUCAAUUAGAUACUUUAGAAAGUCAUUAGCAUGGAAUUAGAACGAACUACACGAAUAUUUCCUAAGUUAUUCUCAACUAUAUAGUCUAGCAUUAUCAUAAUUAGUGCAAGAAUACUUAGCAAUCAUUGUGAGACAAGACUACGCCCAUGCAUAGUGAUAUUAGCAAGGAAUAUGAGAAACAUAGCAAUCACUCCCCUGUAAUAAUAUUGCUCUGCCAGCCCAAUACACGAGAGGGGGACUAUAUAAGAAUCAAUGAAGCUGUCACUAUCACGAACAGUAGGUGAUUUAUGACUUAGCCUAUAAUUCUUAAUCUAAGGAGGCACAAACAAUCUAGAAACUAUUGAUGAUGAGGAAAUACUAAUGUACUCUGGUUCGAAUAACCGAUAAACUUUGUAUAGUAUCGUCUUAUCGGGCAAGUAACCCGAAUAGGGGAAGAAUCAGAGUAAUCCCCUAUCAGGCACCUAUAAACCUAUCAAUCCUAUUAACUUGAAGUGGACUACAGAGGAAUCAACACGGUUAUAAAGUCACCUAUGUGAACUACCACUGUCCGGCUGAUCAGGGGACAUUCACAAGCAACCAUAGCCCAAACACCACGUCUACGUUAUGAAUCACUACUCUGACCUAAGAGCUACCCAAAUCAUAGUACUCAAUGUAAUAUGAGUUGCAAACCAAAGAAUGAAUACAAACAACUUGCUUACUUGAAUGAGAAGGGUAAAUACAAAAGUACCUCAGAACGUGGUUUCGGGCGAGGGAGCCGAAUCCCGAAGAAUACAGCUCCUGAGGAAGCUUCGACUUGCUGGGACUCCUCCGAAUCUCUACUUCUCUACUCUAUCUUUCUCUAAUCUCUAUCUGGAUUGCUAACCUAGAUCUAGUGGAUCUCUAUCUAAUGCUCUGGCUCUUCAUCUCUUGAUCUGGUCUCCUCCAGGGAGGGUCUUGCCUUCUAUUUAUAGCCUGGUGGGGUGAACGCACACCGUUGGAUCAAACCGACUUGACAAGCGGUCGAGAUGGCACCUCGGAAGCGGUGGAGGAAGCUUCUAGAAGGGGGGUGUUGACGGUCCUUAAGUAUCAAAUUUAAUUAUCAAAUAAAUAAAGAAAAGGAUCCAAAUGAAAUCAAGAUCUAGACUUAGGGUUUUAUCUGACAGAAUUCCACGAGUUUUGGUGUUUGUCUAUUUCUGCAGGGGGUUAUCAGGAAAUAUGGAAGAAAGGCCCAAUGUCAGGAUUACGUAAAGAUAUUAACGUGCUGCGCAAUUAUCUUACAUCUAGAAGACUCCAGAAGCAACGAGACCAAAGCGGAGGCGAAACGGGGCCAGACCCUGGGCGGCCGCCCAGUUGGUCAGGGCGCCCGCCCACCCCCUGUGUCCAAUCAGGACUCUGCUUUGUGGGAGAUCUCCACCGACCUAAAGGAUGAAUCUAAACCAUACAAUCUAUGUCGGUUUGAUCCAAGGGCCCAUAUUCACUUGAAGGGACUAUAAAACCAGACCCCCUGGCCCCUGGAGGAGAGAGCCUCUCAACCCUAAUUCAUUGUUCCAUCAAGGGAGAAGAAGCCUCUGAUCAAGAUUAGAGCCACCACAUCAAUUAGAUAUCUAGAUUAGCAUAGCUACAUAGGAUUAGAACUAGAAGGAGUCAAUCUUCGAUUGGUUUCCGGAUCUGUCAAGAGGAUUCUUGGUAAUUCUCUAAUUGUGCUUCUAAUUACUUUCUAAUUAUCUUUGUUCUUCAAUAUUAUGAAUAUGACUUUGUUCUACUUCAAUAUAUUGCUUAUGACUUUGCUCUACUUGCUUAUAUUCAAGAUUAUAUUGUUCUUAGUUUAUCAUAGUUAUGUACUUGGCUUAGUUAGAUACGAUCUAUAUACAUGCUUACGAUCGUAUAGCGUUUAUCCAUCGGAUCCAUGGGUAAAUGAUAGAUAUUGCGUAGGCGUGGUGCUUAUACCGUAUUUAUCUGCGAUUGUACCCAAUAUGCCAGAUCGUGGGGUAGUUCGUGAUAGUGACAGCUUCAUUGAUUCUUAUAUAGUCCCCCUCUUGUGUAUUGGGCUGGCAGAGCAACAUUAUUACAGGGGAGUGAUUGCUAUGUUUCUCAUAUUCCUUGCUAAUAUCACUAUGCAUGGGCGUAGUCUUGUCUCGCAAUGAUUGCUAAGUAUGCUUGCACUAACUAUGAUAUGCUAGACUAUAUAGUUAAGAAUAACUUAGGGAAUAUUCUUGUAGUUCGUUCUAAUACCAUGCUAAUGACUUUCUAGAGUAUCUAAUUGAGGUGCUUAUCAUAUUUAUUAUGUGGCUAGAUCAGAUUAGUUAUCCUUGUCACUAUUAUUAUUUCAUAUAUCUUUUAUGUGACACUUAUCCCUGUAUGAAGAGUUAGAUAUAAUGUUCUCAAUUAUACAUGCAAUGAUAGAUGCUCAAUCUCAUAUUCUAUUCUGUAAUCAUUAGUGAUGAUUUCUAAUCCCUUCCCAGUGGUAAAAAUAUAAAUAACGAUACCUGGAAUACUUCCCGGUUAAAAUGCUGCAUCGGUAUUAAUCUGUGCGCUUGCAGAUCCCAUUCAUUAUUUAUUUAGAAGAGCAAUUGCAUAUUUCAAUACCGCGUCUCUCAUAUCAUGUUGGGGAUGACAACUUGGCUUAAGUGGUGUGAGGGAUAGGUUUGGCAUUUUUGGCACCGUUACUAGAUUUAGAGAACUGAGUCUACUUUUAGUAAUGAUGUUAAGAAUACCCAACAGGGGGAGCAAACACUAACCCUAGGGGGCUGGCCGAUGCUAUGGUGGGGCCGGCCGGUCCCACCUGGUGGCUGCUGGCUCCCCCCUCGCGUCGGGUAUCUUCUAGAGUGUUCAUGAAUCCUCGUGUGUCAUCCUUUCGUCGCGGCUAAGUUUCAUGACCGAUUAGCACUUAAGUCCUUCUUUUCAACACUUUCUGGAAUAAUCCCUGGAAAACACAGAAUAUUCAAAACUCGUGGAAAUUGUCAGUGAUAACCCUAUUCUAAUGGAUAUUCAUUUCUGGUGGAGAAAUAAAUGCUAAUAAAUUUUAUGAGUUAACGAUUGUCAAUAGUUGUGUUGAGAUGAGUUGAGGGGGGUCCCUUGCCCCACCUUAUAUAGUCUGGAGGACAAGGUUACAAAUCUAGAAACUAAUCCUAGUCGGUUACAAUUGUCAUAGACAGUCAUAUAUUAAUUCCUAUUCUAUCUGACAUGUAUCUUGCUUGAUCUUCAUGUCUUCCCUCUUUGUGCAGAACUCUAGACAAGUUGAUCAAGCCAUGAACUGUCUCGUCAUGGGCCAAUCCUUUUGGCCCAAGCCUAGCCGUAAGGCUAUAAUGGUUUAUACCCCCCACAGCUAGUCCCCGAGCACUAUGUAUUGUGAAGUGACACGCUGUCUUGAGAUUCUUCGACCAGUGAGGCUUGAUGUCUCCGACCAGCAAGAAAGUUGCAAUAGCAGUUGCGAUGGUAUUUCAUCCAGCUCAGAAGAUAGUCGACCACCAUUAACACCAAAGAAGCAGGUUGUCCAAAUAAUGCAUGGUGCUCUUAAUAAAAAUGAUUUCUUUACUAAUGAAGUGUGCCCACUUGACUUUUCUAAAAACUAUAGGUUCUGGAAAAGCAAGCAUAUUCACCGUAAGUUGAAGUGUGCCCACUGUUGACGGUCCUUAAUGCUCACAUUUAACCAUCAACUAAUCAUAGAAAAGGAUCCAAAUGCAACCAACACCUAGACUUAGGGUUUUAUCUGACAAAAUUCCACAAGUUUUGGUGUUUGUCUAUUUCUGCAGGGGGUUAUCAGGAAAUACGGAAGAAAGGCCCACACGUCGAGUUUACAUAGAGAUAUUAACGUGCCGCACAAUUAUCUACCAUCUAGAAGAGUCCAGAAGCCACGGGAGCGAACGGGAGACGUAACGGAGCCGGGCACUGGGCGCCCGCCCUCCCUUACUGGGCGCCCGCCCUCCCCCCUGGACCAAACAGAGUCCAAUUCGGGGACAAUGCUCCACCGACCUAAUACUUCAAGGAAAACCACACGAUCAAUGUCGGUUUGAUCCGACGGCCCAGAUUCACUUGAAGGGACUAUAAAACCAGACCCCCCUGGCCCCUGGAGAUCAUACCUCUUCUGCAGAAUCAAAGCUAGGGUUUCAAUUCUUCAUCCAAGUAGAGAGGAUCCCUCUAGUUCUUCUAGUUCUACCUCUAGUUCAUCUAGAUCUAGUUCUAGUUCAUCUAGUUCUAGUUCUAGUUCCUCUAGUUCUAGUUCUAGUUAGUUCUAGUUGUAAUCUAGAAAAUAGGGAGAGAGAAGAGGAGAGCGGAGGAGGAGCCAUAUCUGUCGGAUCUUCCUCAACAUUAUACUUUUGCAGCAUCUGGUUCGUUCUCCAGGUUCUUCAAUUCAUAAUUCCUGAGUUCUUUAAUUACUUUUAUUUACAUUCAAGUUAUUUAUUGGAUUCCCACUUGCAUCAAGUGCUCUAGUCUUUAUAAUGCUAGAGUAGUAAUUAAUAGAUUAGACGUGGUGUUUAGUCUUGCGAUUACCUGCAAUUGCACCCAAUCCUGCGGAUUGUUGUGGUAGCCUUAGGGUAGUGACAGCCCUAACGGUCGACGUAUUCCACCUCGUUCGGAUCGGUGUUUGUAGGACUGUAGUCAGACCUUCCUAGCCCCCUUCUCAUCUCUUUCUGUGGUUAGUGCUCUGAUGUCCCGAAAUAGAUAACCUUGAAGUAAUUCUUGAUUCUUAGAUCAACUAGAGAACUCUCAGGAAACUUCCUCUCUUCCCACCAAAAAUAAUUAUAUAGUUAUCCUUGGGCAAUCUUGAAUCUUAAUUAUUACACUCACGUUCCCUGAGGAAAAUCGAUACUCUAGAAUACUCCUGGGUGAAGGCUACAUCGGUAUCCGUGCGCUUGCGGAUUUUUCUGUUUGCGUUUAAAAUACCCAACAAGCUUUCUGGCGCCGUUGCCGGGGAACGGUAGCUGUGCUAGUUUCGAACCAAGUCGUCCGUGUAUCCUUUUUCUUUUCCUUUUUUACCACACUCACCUUAUCACUUUCACCAUACCACAUGGAUUUCACUCUAAGCAUUAAUAAGCAUGGAAUUUAUUUCAUAGCCACUUCAUUUACUCCAUGCUCAUAUGCAACAUCUUCACAAUCCAUUGGUCUCUCCAACAUCACCACAUUCGAGAUCUCCAACCCCCUCAUCCUUUCUAUGUAUAAAAACUUUAAAAGGGCGGUUGUCGAUGCAUAUGUCUAUAAUAAAUAUUGCAGAUCUCGUUGAGUUGAUCUUGAUAUAGGUCAGCGUUGGAGGGGAAACCACUUCGCUGACAUAAAUUAAUGGUUUCCCAAGGACAAGCUUCGUGUCCUAAAAUAAAGCACUGAUCAGAUCGUGACAUGAGCUUUUAAUUAUUUGCAACAUUAACUUGUGUAUUGAGCAUACAAGGAUAAUUGUAAAAAUAUUCCUUCGGGUAUUCUAGUCACUAACCUUUCCAGGAUUGGAGCAAGAAGAUCGGAUGAAUGACAAGCACAAGGUAUGUCCAACCAAUCAUCAUACAACAUUGAAUUAAAUUCAUCCAAACUUGAAUUUUGCAAAAUUCAAGCUUGGGGGAGUACUUUAUAUAAAAACAUCAUUUGCCAUGUUGCUAUGUUGGUUGUCCCUACCUUUGAGACAUGCUCAAUUUGUUAAAUAGUAAUCACACUACUUCAUCUCCACUUGAGUAGAUCUCUAUAAAAGCCAUCACGCUACCUUUGUUUAUCCUAGUAAGUGUUAGUUUGGAAGUACUGUACAUACUUCUAUUGGUUUUUAAAUUAAGCAUGGUGCUUAGGUUAAACAACCUUCCGUAAUCUAAUUAGACAUGGAGUCUAGUUUGGUUAUUGAACUAAAAACUACUUGUGUAGACAUUGGUAUAUUUUGUUGGACUAACUCCUGCAGGAAAACUUUCAAUAUCGACCUGGGAAGUCCUGAGAUAAACUCACAUUGGAGAUAAAGAGAGACACACCUGAAGUUUAACAAUUUACACAAGGAAGGCAUAGCUCACAAGAGAUGAUCCAUGGAGGUGCCACAAACAUGAUGCACAAUCGCUAAGAGAGGAAAGCUUUCACAAGGUGAUACUGUACCAUCACUCUUCCACUAAGGUAACAUCUUAAGGUACUUGACUAUCACUUUUAUAAGCUUCUCCUUAGUUCUAGCGUUCACAUGAAUAAAAGAGACAAACAUGUAUGAUUUACAACUCUAGAUUAACCAACCCAAUCGAUUCAACAUGUUUAGUCCUUCCACCUUUGUGAUCCCACACUCUUAAUCAUAUGAACUAAAAUGUUGCACAUUCAAUCUCUGGAAGAUAUAAACAAAACAUAAAUAUAGAUAGAUUAUCUUUCCAUUAGGUUGAGCAAUUUGAUCUGACAAAUGUUUUAAAUGUUAUACUCAUGAUCUUAUUAUCCAUCAACUUUGUCUUGCUCACUAUGCUUAAGGUUAGAGAAGAAUAAAUACACUUUUGGUUCUGUUGGUGUUUUCCACCAACAGGGCCCAUGCACUUGAUCUCUGCCUUGUCUUUAUGAGCAGGUACACUUUGAGCAAAAUAUGAAGGACUUUUACAACUCCCAGACUCCACCAAAGUGAAGAACCUCGAUCUAUGAGCACAAACACGCUGGAGAUACUGGACACUCAUGCAAACACUGCCCUGAGAUGCUUGAGGAUGUAACUACUGGAGUAACCUCAUUGUGGAAGUAAUUACUGACCUUCUGCCGGUCAAAAGAGACAAUCUAGGACGCCCCGUCAUCCCAAUCUCCAUCGGCAUGGUGGACUUCCUAGAAGCACUCUGCGACUUUGGCUCCAGCGUCAACAUUAUACCCAGGGGAAGCCAUUCCUGAACACCUCGGGAGCUGUCAUCUACGCUAGUGCUGCCAAGAUCAGUUUCUACAUCAAGGGGAAGAAGGAGACGUUUUCCUUCAAGAACAAGACUACACAAAUCGCAGAGCAAUCCCGACAUGAACCAAGGAAGAGGACCAACAGGAGGAACAGGAACAAACAAAUGUGUACCGAGUCAGCUAAGAUGGUCACUGCAGUUCAAGGAGGACAAGAUCAUCUAUUUAAGUCACCAUUCCUGACCAAAAAGGACGACCCAGGCAUGCCAAGCAUCCAGUGCUCCAUUAAUGGAUACAACUUCCAGAAGAUGCUUUGCGACACCGGGUCAGGCGUCAACAUAAUGGCCGCAGUCACCUAUCAACUCCUGUUCGGAACCAUGCCCCUAAAACCGACAUACAUUCUGCUCCAGAUGCAGAUCAGACAUUCUGAAAGAUUGAAGGUUAUUGACUUGGGAGAAGACGAGUACGAUCCACCCAUCAUCCUUGGAAGACCGUUCUUUAGCACCAUUAAAGCAAUCAUAUACAUUGGAACCAGAGAAGUCCACAUGCACUUCCACUCAAAGAAGUUACGCCACUGUUUUACUGACCCUAACUAUAUAGUUGAAGACUCUAAGCAGGUCAGGACAAGAAGAAGACGACGCAACAGCAACCAGAGGAGGCAAAUCAUCAAGGACGGAUGGGUAGACUAUGAAGGAGAAGUUGUAAGGUCUGAAGACAUACAACUUGAACAGAACUGUCCUGAGGAGACCGUAGCACCGAGUCAGGUGUGGAAAGAGAAGAUAGUUAUACACGAAGAGGAAGCACCGUCGGAACCACCGACUACGCCAUCCAGCAAAUCCCAGGAUGACUGAGAAAACGGAGAGUCCCGUUCGGAGGACUUAAAAACACCGAACGCCUUGCCAAGAGGUAACUUGGUAGUUAUCUUUUUUCUUUCAAUUAUUUAAAAUAGUUUGCUUAGUUAAUCAGGUUCACAUCAUCUUGAAAAGAAAAUAAAAGUGUUAAAAAUAGUAAGCCCCAUGUGAGUAUGCUCAUGGCAUAAAACCCAUAAGUACAUCCACUGUGGUGGCGUAAAAAUGAAAUAAGUAUAUUCCUGUCCUAUAAAAAAUUAAAUUAUAAAAAUAAAUUUAUGAUCCUACUAAAGAGAGUAAUAUUUAUUGAGGAGGCUCAACAUGAUAAAGGCUAGAUAUUUAUGCUAACACUUAACUAGUUCCACAAAGCUUUGUUGUCUAUUUGCGCUCCACAGAAUUCAAGGAUCAAAGAAGACUAGCAGACGGAGGACAUCCUAAUCGCUGUUAGGGUGCUGCUGACAUUCAAAUACACCUCCACCACUUGCUAGCUACAUUAGAAGAAAUUACGUCAAAAUCCAGCUUGGGGGAGAGCACCCCCAUUUAUCCAGCUAAGUAUUCUACUCACGUUUAUACUUUACUCUAAUAAUAAAAUGAUGCAUAAUCAUAGAAACCCAAAUAAAGAUUUUGUGCUUAUAUAUAUCUUUGCUUAGUUUGCUAAAUAAAUAAAUAAAUAAAGUCUGCUACGAACCAUCAUGAUAAGCUCUCACAUGGAAAUGAUGAAUAGUUGCUCUGCCAUGACUAGUUCUCAAAAUUGAAAUCUCUCUCAAGUUUAGGCCUAACUGUUAUUAAUUAAGAUUUGUUCUAAACCUGAACUUGUGGGAAGAGUACUUGAUCUGAAGUCUAAGUCGUUAACGGAUAUGAUAUGGGAAGGUUGAGCUGCUGUUUAUCUAUUCCUAGAGAUGCUAGAAUUCUGAAGAAUUUUAUCUUUGAAAAUCUUUAAAAUGUUGCAUGAUGAGUUCCUGUAUGAUGAGAGUUUUAAUUCCUACCACAGCCAUAUAUACAUGCUUGCUAGACUGUGAGCCACACAUUUACUUUACUGCUUAUGAGCAUUGAGUAUGGUCAAGCUGUGUAGACCCUUAGGAGCUUGUCAUGUGGUUAAAUCAAGAUCCACUUGCACGUUCACUCAUACAUUCUGCUUCUACUCCGGAAGUACGCAUCCACAUAUAUCCACCCAUUUCCAUCUCCAGAACCACUCAAAAAUAUUCUACUCCUAAUCUGGGAGAGAAUAACCAAAAACAUUUAUACUUUUCCCCUGCGGAAUAAAUGCUCAAGUUAUCUUGGUUACUACCACUUGCUACAUUAUUUCAAGAGAUGAGUGCUCUAAAAAAAGAAGAAGAAAAAAAGAUACGAGGAAAUAAAAAGGGGCAAGUGCCCGGAACCUCGAAAGAAAAAAAAGUGAGACGAGAGAUAAAAAAUGGACAAGUGUCCGAUAGUAGAAUUAGGGGUACAAGAUACCCACCUGAGAGAAAAGAAUGAAAAAGAAAAUAUAGAGCAUCUCAUUCUCCUCAAAAAGUUUCAAAAGAGCAAGAAAGGUAUGUAUCCCCUCAAAAGAGCACAAGUAGAAUUAGACUUUCACCAUUGUUAUCACCAUCAUUACCAUACACCAUUCAUUCGCCACACAUGCACAUCUUGAUUUGACUUAUUGACUUGUUCUUCUGGAUCCAUUGUUUGACUAUGCAAUAAAUGUCUUGUAAGUAUGUAUUAGCUGUCUCACACCUAUGAGCUCCAGAUAUCAAAACCUUAUUAGAGUAGGGUGAGAGAGAAGGCAAUGCCACUAUGCCUCAUACCAAAAAUACCACAUACUUUGAGAGAAGGCAUACACCAUUACUGCCUUGGUAAGGAUCUAGAAAUACCACAAAAGAGAGACUAGAGAGAGUCAUACAAGGAAUCUCUGAGUUUUAUUUGAAAAUUUCUAAAAACUCCAGAGCUAUAGUUAAUCGAAGAACAAGAGAAAUGGCGCUUGACUAGACCGUUCUAUCUUUUAACUGCUCAAGACACAAGUGACGGUUACAAGUCCCAUGGUGGAAGGUAAAAUGAGUAAGUUUAAAUCUUAACAGUUUACCCUAACCCAGAGAUGAGAUCUUGUUUGAACGCAUGUGUAUCUUUAAGGCAUGAAACCACUGCAGAAACUCUUGAGUCCAUCUUUGCUCAGGGACGAGCAAAGGUUAAGCUUGGGGGAGCUUGUUGACGGUCCUUAAUGCUCACAUUUAACCAUCGACUAAUCAUAGAAAAGGAUCCAAAUGCAACCAACACCUAGACUUAGGGUUUUAUCUGACAGAAUUCCACAAGUUUUGGUGUUUGUCUAUUUCUGCAGAGGGUUAUCAGGAAAUACGGAAGAAAGGCCCACACGUCGGGUUUACAUAGAGAUAUUAACGUGCCGCACAAUUAUCUACCAUCUAGAAGAGUCCAGAAGCCACGGGAGCGAACGGGAGACGUAACGGAGCCGGGCACUGGGCGCCCGCCCUCCCUUACUGGGCGCCCGCCCUCCCCCCUGGACCAAACAGAGUCCAAUUCGGGGACAAUGCUCCACCGACCUAAUACUUCAAGGAAAACCACACUAUCAAUGUCGGUUUGAUCCGACGGCCCAGAUUCACUUGAAGGGACUAUAAAACCAGACCCCCCUGGCCCCUGGAGAUCAUACCUCUUCUACAGAAUCAAAGCUAUGGUUUCAAUUCUUCAUCCAAGUAGAGAGGAUCCCUCUAGUUCUUCUAGUUCUACCUCUAGUUCAUCUAGAUCUAGUUCUAGUUCAUCUAGUUCUAGUUCUAGUUCCUCUAGUUCUAGUUCUAGUUAGUUCUAGUUGUAAUCUAGAAAAUAGAGAGAGAGAAGAGGAGAGCGGAGGAGGAGCCGGAUCUGUCGGAUCUUCCUCAACAUUAUACUUUUGCAGCAUCUGGUUCGUUCUUCAUCGUUCUCCAGGUUCUUCAAUUCAUAAUUCCUGAGUUCUUUAAUUAUUUUUAUUUACAUUCAAGUUAUUUAUUGGAUUCCCGCUUGCAUCAAGUGCUCUAGUCUUUAUAACGCUAGAGUAGUAAUUAAUAGAUUAGACGUGGUGUUUAGUCUUGCGAUUACCAGGAAUUACACCCAAUCCUGCGGAUUGUUGUGGUAGCCUUAGGGUAGUGACAGCCCUAACAGUCGACGUAUUCCACCUCGUUCGGAUCGGUGUUUGUAGGACCGUAGUCAGACCUUCCUAGCCCCCUUCUCAUCUCUUUCUAUGGUUAGUGCUCUGAUUUCCCAAAAUAGAUAACCUUGAAGUAAUUCUUGAUUCUUAGAUCAACUAGAGAACUCUCAGGAAACUUCCUCUCUUCCCACC
This 73089-nucleotide long non-coding RNA is filed under the name Sorghum bicolor (sorghum). Its description in RNAcentral is "long non-coding RNA (SBIC_LNC008367)". The stretch from base 60912 to 61018 matches the Rfam family "Plant small nucleolar RNA R71". The record is from RNAcentral. Lineage: Eukaryota; Viridiplantae; Streptophyta; Magnoliopsida; Poales; Poaceae.